Molecule: long non-coding RNA, 70787 nt
Filed under: Prunus persica (peach)
Lineage: Eukaryota; Viridiplantae; Streptophyta; Magnoliopsida; Rosales; Rosaceae
Description: long non-coding RNA (PPER_LNC003948)
Rfam family: MIR6274 microRNA precursor family (bases 70668-70772)
Source: RNAcentral
UUCCAAAUGCCAAACCCCACUAAUUUAAAACUAAAAACCAAAAUAUAAAUGUAGCUAAGAAGCUGACCAAAUUGGACAUGCAACUUAGAAAAUAACCCCCACAAACAAACUUCUCUGAUGAUGAUGAUGAUGAUGAUGAUGUCAUAAAUCUUCUACUCCUCAGUCUUCUCGACCGGAACAUCUGUGGUAGUUUCCUCUGGUUUCUCUUCCUCUACUGGAGGAGCUGCUGGUGUCUCAGCACUUUCAGUGGUCUCUUCUUUGGUCUCCUCAGCAACAGCAGCAACAGGCUCCGCUGCUGUGACCUCUUUGGGCUCUUCUGCCUCUGUUUUCUCUGUUUCUGUUGCUGCUGGCUCCUCUGCCUCAGCCUCAGCAGCCUUGGUUUCCUCUGCCACCUCCUUGGUCUCAACUUCAGCUGGAACUGGAGCUUCAGCUUCAGGAGCAGCAGGUGCCUCUGCCUCUGCUUCUGCUUCUACUGGUGUGGUUUCCUUUGGCUCUUCGGUGGUUGCAGCCUCAGACUCAGUGACAGCAGCUGGUGCGGCAGCCACAGGCUCUUCCGGGGUUUUCUCUUCAGUCUUGAUCACCUCAACUGUCUUUGCCUCAUUUUCUUGCAACGUUGCUGCUGGUGCAACCUUCAAAAUCAAGUUUUGUAAAAGAAAAAAAUCACUCAUAUUUUCAUGUUAAGAAGCUAAUAUUGCAUGAUAACAUAAAUUACAUAAAAUCCUAAGUUUUCGACAUGGGUCGAUCCAUCAACUUCCAAGCUUUAUACUUGUAUGCAAAUCAGUAGCAAAUAAUAUGUCAGGUCUACACACACACACACACACAUAUAUGUAUAUGCAGAUGGGUUCUUUUUUAAACCAAAGAGCACCAAGAAAAGCAACAGAGAUAUUGUGUCUAUAUGGAUGAGCUCGCAUUACCUCAACAGUGGCCAUUGCUUUAGCAAAGGGUAAUGAAACUUGAACAGAAACUGGGAAAAUAGAAUGCUUGAAGAAUCAAGAUAUGGGAGGGAGGGGUGAGUAAAGAGUGCUUAAUUGCUAGUGAGUGAGAGAAAUGAUCAGUGUGAGAGCUAUAUAUAGAUAGAUGUGUGAGUGCCUCAAUGCCUAAAUCUUAUAAAAAUAAAAAAUAAAAUAAAAAGAAUAGGAGAAAGAGAGCACUUGAAGAAUCUUUUGGCAAUUUGACACCUCAUGGUCCCUGACACAAAUUAAAGGACAUUAACUUGUCUAGUUGUAAAUGUUUUUGGUUUGGCGUUUUUUUUUCCUUCAGAUUUUAUAAGUAUAUUUUGUAAUAGAAAUAGCUUUGUAGACAAUGAAUGAAUUGGAAUGGCAAAUGGUGGAGGCCAUUUCUCAUAUCAGCAUCAUAUCUUUCUUUUGAAUUGGUUUUUCUAUGUUUUGUGCAGUAGGGCAUGUAGGUGACUGGCCAUCAUGCACUCAUGUUCUUGUGCCCUCUAUUUCUUUUUUUAUGUCUUAGUUAGUAGGCCCUAUCACUAAGCUUAGCCUAAUUUCGGUUAAAAGUCUUCUUUUCUUUUUUUAGUAUGAGUGAGUGAGUGAGUGUUCCAACAUUGCUUUUGCAAACUAAAAACGUUACACAAGAUGCAAUAGAAUUAGACUAAAUUAAAUUCAUCUAAUUUUCCGCACUUAUAUUAUACAAGAGAAUAGAAUAAAGUUUGAGACAAGAGUUAGGAUUUCAACUAAAGUAAAUUAAAAAAUACAAAGACUUCUCUCUCUCUACACGACCAAUUGUACGAUUAAUUAUAUGAUGGUUGUAUACAAUCGGUGAUAAUGCAUAUUUUCUUUUUCUUUUUUCCUACUCAAUGUUGAAUAGGCGUGGCAUGGAGGACGGGGGCAUGAGGAAUGCACAGACUCUGCAAUAUAAUUCAAUUUUGUCACUAGCUCUGAUUAAUUGAUUAAUUAAUCGAAUGCACAGGAUUAGUAGACAAAUUAAAGCAGAGGGUACAAACUUGAUGGUAGUGUCGUUUAGUGGUUAAAAAGAGGGUGGCAGCUUUUACUAUUCUAGUCAAAAAUUUGUUUACCAUUUUUAAGGUUUCACAUUCAUUCUUCAUCAUAAUCACUUUGGAGAGAAUUGAAUUUGGGACCAAAAAACAACUUCUUGAUCGAUCAUCCAUCCAAUGGACGCGAGCCAAACACAAGAAAACAACGUAUCAAGGCCGGUGCGUGGUGCCUCAGGGUGGGACCCAACAUCACCAACUGCGAUCAUCACCGUCCCAUGGGCCCUCCAUUCCAUGUGGACCCACAUGCAAAACAAAUAAAAAACGCUGCCGUGGCAAACCUUCCCAUCCUUUGAGCCCAUUGCGCUUGGCCUUGGCAACCGCCCUUUCUAUAAAGAUGAGGGCUGCGAGGGCCCAGUGGGUCCUGCUGUUGAUGCUUUCCAGGUCGGAUACUCGUGACUCCGGACCCACUUGCAUCCGUCUCAUUUGCCUUGCUGGAUUACACUCAUCGCUCUGAUUAUAUCGUCAACUGCGAACGUACUAUACUACCCUUAUCAAUAUUAGGUACUCCGGGCAGCUAUAGGUGCUACACCAUAGCCAAGUAAAGGGCAUAUUCGUCAUUGAAAGAUCCAAUAAGAAUUUACUAUGUUUUUGUGGAUCUCUAUAAUAAUAAUUUUGAGAUACGUAUAAUAUUCUCUUGUAUAGAGUGACUCGAAUUUUGGACGAAAGUAAGUAAGCAAACGAUCCAUCAUGCCUCGCCUCGACUUGUGCGUCAUGAAAUUCAUCCAUGCCAUGCCCCCCCUUGUAACCUUGUAAUGUAAAUAAUCAUUUCCCGUGAUGUGUAUUAGUAUUAGAUUAAGUCAGGUUAACUUCAUCUCAUUACUAAUUUUGUAUUUUGUUAUUAGCAAUCUCGGGAUUAAAUAUGUCCAGGUUGGAUGGACUCCGAGAGGGGAGAAAGACUUCAUUAAUCUGGUUUCAUCGCUCCUUUUGUGGUAUAAUUUUGUCACAUUAUUUAUGAAAAAAGAGAAAAAAAAAAUAAGACAAUAAAACGAAAAUAAAGAAUUAUAAAGGGUAUAUGUACAUCGUUUUCCUCCCUAAUUUGUAACAGCGAAUGUGCAGCAAAGGGAAAGGAAAAUGCUAGGGAGACCAACUUUAGAUACCAACUUGUGUACCAACUCUCUAAUAGAGUGUGGGACCCAUUGUAUUGGUGGACUCCACCUCUAUUAGAGACCAUUUGGUGGGACACUCCCCACCGUCCCCGGCUCCCUAGCAUAACCCAAAGGGAAAUGGUUUGAUAAAGGCUAAAGAGCAGGGGACGGUGGGGAGUGUCCCACCAAAUGGACCCCGCUAAAAUUAGUGUGAUGAGUGAUGACAACAAUAAACAAUUGGACCAGUCAGUAGUCGACAUGGCACGGCUUCUUAAUACAAGUAGAAAAGGUAGAACAAAGGACGGGACAACUGAGCGCAGUUCCUCUGGGGAGGUGGAACCCAUGCGUCAACGGCUGGUCAAUAAUUCCAUGACUCCGGUUAGUGUGUGUAGUGUAGGUGUCAUACACGUAAGCUUGAGUUUGGCCAUGCUGGAAAAACAAUCUCCUUUGCCCAUACGCAAUUGUCCAAAGUAGAAUGUAGGACGUACUAUUUCCCUUACUAAUAUAUAAGAUCGAAACGCACGAAAGAUUUUACGUUCCAAAUUUAUAUAACGUGCGCGGAGGAUGAUUUAAAAGGAGAAAGACUACUUUUUUAAAUUAAAAAUUAAAAUAUUUAUUUUCUAAAUAAGUUAAGUACUUUUAAUCCAUCAAUUAACUUGAUUUGAAAAAAUUUCUCAAGUCACAUACUUGCGCUUAAUCUUAUAUAUAAUCUCUAUAUAUAAAUUUUUCUUCUAAAUUGCCGCUUUCAACAUGAUUGCCUUUGGCAAUGUAAGAAGGGUGUUGAGUUUUAUACGUAACUACCAAGUUUUAAUUGGUCCAUUCCAUAUGGAGCUUUUAAAUCCCAAUCAAUCACCAAAAACGUCACAAUCAGAACAAGUGUUUCUUUUCAACAAGAACCAAGUGGUCUAAUUGAUUGAGAGCUAGCUAGCUCAAUCAGAAACUAACUAGCUUCAGGUAACUUCUUUAUGUUUUUUCUUAUCAUCUUGACAUGUGUUUAUGGAGAAAUACUUCCUUAUUUCCGUUUUAUUCCUUUUGUAUUUUUAUCUCCCUCUCUAUUUGAUAAGUGACAUAAGAAGAGAUAUAAGAAGAAUGGAACAAUUACGUUUCUUCUCAAUGUUCAUGACUUGUAUAUUUUGGAAUUGCAAUUUGCAACCCUUAGGCAAACAUCUUUUUAAUAUUUCUUUUCCACACUUUUUGUAUACCCCCGCACGUUCUUUUUCAAGUGUAUUUUCCUCUUGGUUGAUUGAUUCUUUCUUUCCCAUGUUCAAUUUAGCAGCAGGUCCAGGUAGGCCACCAUAUAUACAAAGUGGGGCUUGGAUCGACAAGAGAAAUAUCAAUCAAUCAAAACUUCCGAAGUUUCGGCCACUGAGAAUGAAUGACUAUGGAUCAUGGAAGGAAGGGGAAACCUCGGCUGUCGGCUCUGCUUCAGUUGAAUCUUAUUUCUUCUUGUACUGAGUGAAUGUGAAUCUUUAAAGUUGCAGACCACAUUCAUGCUAAUCAUAUUCGUUAAAGAAUAUAGCACGCACUUUUUUCUUUGGGUCCUUUUCCGUCAAACCUUGAAAAAUAUAAUUCCAACCAGUAGCAACUUUGUUAUUUCUUUUAUUUUUUAACCAACUCCAAAAGCCUCUUUUGCAAAGUAAUUGUAUCCAUGGCAAUGGCAUCCAUAAACAUAAUAAUAAAACUACUUAAACCACUCUUUUACAAAUAUAACAUGUCAUGUUGAAAUAAUAGGAUAGAGAGUUGUAUAUAAGUCACUCACAAUAUUUGAUUUGAAAACAUUUCCUGCGAUGCAAAAUUGAAAAUUGGAAUCUCAAAAUAAUUUAAUAUUUUUUGAAGUCAAUACAAGCUACAACAAGCAAAGCGUGUCAUUGUUUAACGAUCAGAACAACUUUAACCUUGCUACAGACUAUAAUAAGGUUUUCAAAAGUUCCUAAAUUUUUCAUAGGUCUAAGUCUAACUGGCUUUCCUGCCGGUGGGAAUGGAAGAAACCUAAGACUGGAACACGCAAGGCAGAGAACGAUGUUUCCGAGCCAGCCAGACAACUGCAUGAUUCGGUUUUUCAAAUGGCAAGUUUCUUCAACACUGCUUCAGCACGGUGCUCAAAUUUUGGUAAGGCCCAAUCAUGCUGGACUAUGUCAAGACUGUCCUUCUCAGCGCCCAAGCUCUGACCAAUUAAACAAAUACGGAAAACCGUACAGAUUAGGAGUGGUGAUACAGAAAAAAAUUGCUUUAGAUUUUAUUUUAGAGUUGAGUUUUUAUCUCGAAACGUGAAGCCAUACAUUUAACAAAUUAUAAGGUAAUGCUCCAAUACUUUCAUACAGCUACGCAUUUGUUAGAUAUGAAGUAUGUUAGGGACAGUUCACAUCCGUCCAUUCUCUUCCAAAGUUGAUCAUGCAAAGUGAUGGGUGCUUCACAAUCUAAGAAAUAAUAAAUAAGGGCCCAUAACCAUUUUAAUUUUAGUUUUUAGUUUUCAUUUUUUGUGUGAGUAUAGAGGAAAAUAGGAGUGAGAAUGGGAGCGAGUGAGAAUGAGAGAGAUGAUGAGAGGGAGGAGUAAUAAAAGUGAAAAUAAAAACUUGAAAGUGAAAACAAUUUCAAAUAGAUUUCGGUUUUAGUUUUAGUUUUCACUUUUGUUACUCCACCCUCCCAUCCUCCCCUCAUCUUCCCUCUAAAUCCCAUCUCCACUCUCAUUCUCACUUCCAUUCUCCCUCUUGUUCCUCUAUACUUUAGCACACAAAAUGAAAACUAAAAACUAAAAUUGAAAUGGCUAUCAAACAGGUCCUAAGUAGUUUAAUUAAGGAGAUCACAUCCACUGUCAGUCAAGUGAGUAAGUUAAUUGGGCGACAUAUAAGCCCCAGCAUACCUAUUGUCCCAAAAGGAAAAAUCCCUGACCUUAACGUUCACACGACUUGACAACAAAUGCACUUAAAAAACAACAGCGAUGACAAUGCACAGAAUCCAAGGUCUAAAAAGGAUACUUUCAUGAAAUGUAUUUAGAUAUCAGUUCUUUUCAUUCAUCAUAUUGAGCAGGCCAAAUUACAUAAAUAGAAUGGUUGCGAAGAAACUAAAGAAUGGCAUCUGAAAUUUUCUAAGAUUAAUGACUCUUAAACCUCGAGGAUUACAAAAAACUAUUAAGUUCAUACCUUUGAUGGAUCAAAACCAAACCCACUCAUUUGCAUCAUACGCUGAGUAUCAUCCAUUGCUGCAUAAGAAAAGUUUUUAUUUUAGUUUAUCAACCUCCUAGAGUACAUAAAUUCUAGCUCAUAGUUUCGGUGUUACAUGUGUGAAAAGAAGCUCAACAUGCAUUUCUGAGUAUGAAAGCUAUCAUGAUGAAAUAAUCACAAAAUGUGGCACUAACCAUUUUCUUCUCCCAGAAUGAGACUAAACAAACCUCUUAAUCCAAACAGAUUAAGAAAGUACCUGAGAGAAAGAGAUUUUGAAUAAUUUGAGACAAUCAGUUAAGCAAACAACAAAGAGGAGGAAAUUGUUUUAAGUACCAUGAGCGGCUACUGACAUAGCUAACAUCAACAGUGCUUAAGUCAAUCCCAUUCUGCAGCAUUGACCUGAACCUUUGAGUAAGAGGAAAGGGUAUUUUGGCUGUGGAAAAGAAAAAGAAACAAAUAUAUAACAUGAUAACUUGACCAUAUGAUAGUAUCACUUUAUAUUAGUGAAUACAACCAUACAUACAUUGAACAACGAUCUAUCAUACAGGCAGAGCAGAAAGGGAAGAAGAAAGAAGGAUGACAAAUUUAUGGAAGCACCAAGGUGAAAGAACAUUAAUGACAUAAAAGAGUAGAAGUCACAACUGGAAAAAAAAAAAAAAAAACACAAAACGCAAGAAGUCACAAGUUCGAGUAUUUGCAAGAUUCACAUCCCAUACAAAGUAACAAAGCAGUUGCAUAACAUAGGAACAGAAAAAUUGGAUUCAGAGGCAUUGAAACUUACCUGCUACAAAUCCAGAAAAGAAAAAGUUGACCCAUGCAAAAGUAAGAGUCUGGCCAACACAAAGGCGAUCAUAAAAAUAUCAGUUACCAUAUCUGAGAAAAUCAAGCCAAACUACAAUAAAAACACAAGCAAUUUGAAUACCUGGGGUAUGAUCAUAGACAGAUUUUUCUUCAUCAUGUCCAUAGCCAUGUUGGGAUCAGAGAACAUUUGCGCUUGUGCAUUCUGUACCUGACCCUUGGGAACAAUUAACAACCCAUUUUCCUGCCACAGUGCAACGUGUUUGACUUAAGUAUCAACAGAGUAACACAACAAAUAGCAGACUACAAGCUAGUUUCAGCAAAAGCAUCUGCUAUAAAAGAACCCCUGAAGCAUAUAAAUCAAAGUUGAGAAUUCUUGCCAUGGUGGAUUCAAAUUUCCAAUCCAAAUUACAUAACGCCUAAUGCUAACUCAACUCAUCAACAAGACGAACAAAUAAAAAUUGUUUUCCAGCUUAUAAUUUGAAGAUGAACAAAAGCACGUCAAUUUGAGUGUUAUUAGGGGAAUUACUUGCAUAAAUAGCAAUUACAGCGAGAAUUAAUAUCAAACCUCAUUGCUGAAAUAAAACCGGCGAGCGCGAAACGACUUGGGAGGUAUGAAAUUAGCAGCAGCACGUAAAUUCCGAGCCCUAAUAAUCAAUUGCCUGAAAUUCGCAAAGAAAAUUUAAUUUGAUAAAGGCAGAUAGAGAAUUAGUAAUAUAUAUAGAUGCGUUUAGUAAGCAUGCAUAGUUAGUGUUGAUAGAGAGACCCUUCUUUGAUGAUUUUUGCAUCGGGGACUUGGUUGGAGCGCAUGAGCUUGGAGACGAAGUAUCGGAGGACACCUAUGAGAACCAUGACCACCGAGAGAGGGAUGAGAACCCAAUCUCUGAUGGCUGUGUCUAGCACCAGAUCUGCCGCCAUUGUUGGACCUCACAGGCACUAAAUGACACUCUUUGGUUCGUUUUGGGUCUCGGCUCUGCUCUGCCUCGAUCGAUUGUUUCUUUCACUACACACUUUCGUUAAGCAAAGGUGAAAAGAUCAAAGACGGACGAGGGACAUCCGUGUCCCUCUUGGAUAGUCAAAGGUUAUUUUUGUCUUUAAAAGUCGUUGGAUUUCAUAUGCUGAGUUCAAACAACCCAAUAAUGAAAGAGUGAUAGGCCCAGCCCAAUCAUUCUCAUCAACUGGAACUGCUAUAAAUUUUUUCUGAUUAGUCCAACAAAUCAAAAUUGUACAUAAUCUCAAAUUUCAAAAUGAUAAAUCAUCUGGCCUAUUAGCUCAGCUGGUUAGAGCGUCGUGCUAAUAACGCGAAGGUCGCAGGUUCGAGACCUGCAUGGGCCACUUUUUCAGCUGUUUUACUUAUUUUUCAAUCCUCAGUAUAUGUUUUUCACCAAAGAAGUUUCAAUUGGUAUUAAAUAUUUUAAUUAACUUCAUAAAAAUUAAUUAAUUUUUUAGAACUUUUUUUGGGCUUUAAUUUUCAUAACGAUAAAAUUGUCUUUGGAAUCGCUAAUUACUUCAUAGUUUUAAUUGAGUACUACCUUACUCUGAGUUAAUUAAUAUAAUUAGUAAUUAGCUUUUAGUUAUUACUUGUUUAGUCUUAUUUCCUUAAAUGAAUUUGAAUAUUCAAACAGCUUAUCUAUAUAUAUAAAGCAAAAGGUAGAGAAUGGUGAAACAUUCAAAAUACCAGAAAAUGCUCUUGGUUAAUGCAAACAUUAAGAAUUCAAAUUAUUAAUUAAAUGAGGAUAAUAUGGUAAAUUCACACUUUUUCAUAUUUAAAAAAAUUAAAAGAAAAAGAAAAAGCAGAUAAUGGAUCCUAUUUUUAUGGAACACAACUACCCAUUAUCUUUUUUAAUUCUAAAAUAAAUUUACUUAUUUUUAAAAAAAACCUCUCGCAAGCGCGGAAGCGGGUGCAGAGAGGCUAGUACUCUUUAAAUAUAUUAUAUUUUGAUUAUUAAUUAAUUAAUUAAUUACUAUUUAUUAAGUAAUUUAAAAAAUCAGUAAAAUAUUUAAAUAAUAACUAAAGAAAAAAUAAAUAUAGUAAUUUAAAAAAAUUAAAAUAUUACUUAAUUACAUAUAUUAAAUAAAGAAGUGGGCCAAAAACAUAAAAUAAAUAAAUAUAUUUUUAUUUUUAAAAUUUUAAAAUAUUCCCGAUCGGCUACUCUUAAAAUAUACUAUUUAUAGAGUAUAGCCGCGCGGCCAUACUUAUAAAAUAAUCUAUUUAUGGAGUAUAGAUGCACGGCUAUACGUUUGAAAUAUUCUAUUAUAGCGUAUAGCCGCCCGGCUAUACGUUUAAAAUAUUCUAUGUUAUUGAGUAUAGCCGCGCGGCGUUACUGUCAAAAUAUUUUAUGUAUGGAGUAUCGCCUAGCGGCUAUACUUUUAAAAUAUGCUAUUUAUGGAGUAUAUCCCUACGGCUAUACGGUUAAAAUAUUCUAUUUAUGUAUUAUAGCCGCCCGGCUAUACGCUUAAAAUAACAGACAAUCAUAACUAUGCUAUCAAAUGAACAAGAAAAAAACCUGAAGAACAUACCUGGCGAGCUUCAAUAGAGAUAGCCUCAUGUUCAUCGGAUAUUGCAUUUGCCAUCUCAAGUUUAUCGUUCAGGGACGCAACUUCUUCAAGAAGUCCGUCUCUCUCGCUGAUGACCCUUCUCAACUCAUCCUCGAUACCUUCAACUUGACAGAGUAAUUUUGUUUCCAUUGAAGAAGUCAAAUGAAGAAUUUCUUUUUCCCAACCUUUCACCAUUUCCUUCUGCUCUUCCAGUUGUUCAUUGGCCUCAGAAUUUUUGAGAUAGAGAUCAUUUAGAAGCACUUUCAACUCAAAAUUUUGGUCUGAAAGAGUAUUGAUUGUAUUGUAUCUUUGGCCUGCUCAAGAUUAGAAUUUGAUAAAAGCAGAGCCUUUUCAGUAUCAGUAAGAUGAUCCUCGAGCUUUUUGUGUUGAAACAGCAGGUCAUCAAGCUGGCAUAUUUUAUUUUUAGUUCAUUCUGAAUUUGGCUCAAAGAUUUUAUCAGCUAUUCAGUUUCAUCCUUUAUAUCCAUUGUGUUGGAUGCUGAUUCAUGCAACAUUCUAAAAUCAAAAUACAAGCCCUCCAGUAGAGCAUCUUUCCGUUGCAGUUCUUCCUUCAGUGAUAAAUUCUCGUGCAUCAAACUAUCACGGGACAAACUGAGCUCACCAGCUUUCAAAUUUGUGACUCCACUUUGAUCAUUAUUGUCUUUGGAGAUGUUACUAGUAAGUGCAAUGUCAUCCUCACAACUUGACCACAUUUUUUGUUGCUUGUUUGUAAUUGAAAGGCCUUCUUGCUGUCAGCUGGAGCAGAAACCACUUCCAACGUUUAAGCAUGGUAUUUUAUGGAUCAGCUCUCCUGUGAGACACUGAUGAAGGACAAAUAUGGCAAAUUUGUUCUCCAAUGUCUCAGCGCAUAUUUCUUCUAGUAAUGAUCUUGAUUUGCUAAUGAAGCAGUGUAUCUCCCUUCCCAUAAAAAAAGUAUCAGCAUAUAAUGCUUUGAAACUGUCCUCCACUUCACUUUUUAAUUGCAUAAAACACUCUUUCAAGCAAAGACAAUGAUUUUGCUAUCUCCACCAAAUUAGAUUGAUCCUGCAGUAGUUCAUUCUCUCUUUCUUUCAAACGUACUGAAUUUUUGAGAUGUUCAACUUCUUCAAUAAAGCUUGCUUUCUCUAACAUCAGUUCCUCACCAAUUUGCUUCCACAGGCCAGUCAAUUCUUUUGCAUUUUCAUUUGCUUCCGUCAAGGCAUUUAACAUAACAUCAGCUUCUUUUAUUGUUGCAUGCGCUUUGGUUAAGAAGCUACUAGCAAAAUCACUCUUCUCAUCAGAAACUACCUGCACAUCACAAGAGUGUUACUUAAAGUAUAAGAACGGUGAUUUAGCUGACUUAGUCUCUUAUUUAGAAAAGAUUGGUUAGGACAGUGCUACUAUUAAUCCUUUCUAACAUAUAGUUGCCUCACAAAUUUACAAUGCAAGAAUUGGAUGAUUUGAGAAAAAAUUUGUUGUGCCUUUUUUGUAGCAUGACAACCAUAAGAACUCUCCGUCCUUGACUCAAACAAUGGAACAAGUUGUUUCAGUCCUGCAUACAAUAUGAGCUGAUUAAGUCCCUUGAUUAAUAUAUGUUUCUGAUCGUUAAAAGUGUAAGAUAUUCAGUAAAGAAUAUACCUGCUGGUUGAGAACAACCUCCAAUGUCCAACUCGCUAAUGAGUGUGGCUAGCCUAACAUAUAGUUUGUUGAAAGCAUCAAGUGCCAUCUCUAAUUCCUUUUUCAGGCAGAAUGUUGCUCCUUUAGAGUCCGUGAAAGUUUUUAAGACCCACUUUGACUCUUCUGGAUCUUGAUCAGCAGACUGUAAGUACUGAGCGUUCUUUAACUUUCAGGUCCCCCAUUUGCCCUUCUAAUGCCCACAAUUUGUUUCCAGAAGCAAAACUUUCGGUUGAAGAAUCACAGCUUGACGUAGUACUAUCAGUACUCCAUUCAUCUUCAUCUUCUAAACUUUUGUCUGCUGAAGGGCAAUCAUACACAUUUACUUUUGUGUAAAUGAAAUCUUCAGUAAUUUUCAAUCUACCAUUUGCUACAGUGAGCUCAUUUUUUAUUUCAAGAAUCAUGUGAUAAAUAUCUUUAGACUUCAGAUACUUGUGUGCUUCUAACGAAAGCGACUCAACUGUACAAAACUGAGAAACUUUGGAAUGCUCUCUUAACUCCAUAUAUUUCUUCCUCAUUUCACGUUCACUUACCAAGUUUUGAACCAACUCGUUGCAUUCAUCAGAAACUUCACUGAUGUUGGUCUCAAGGACCACUAUAUGCAUUUCUGUAUCUGCAUAAAAUGCUUCGAUAGCAUUCUCAGACUCCAAUAUUCCUAACCUGGCCAACUCAAUUUCAAUAAUGACAUCUUCUCGUCCUAAAGCAUUUACUUUUGUGUCAUAGUAUUGAGAUGGGAAUGUUUCUCUCUGUUUUGUCUGUCACCUUCUGAUCCGUAAGCCAUUUUAUUACAAGGAAUGCAGCAUUGGCACAAUUUUCUGCUUCUUUGACCUGAGUUUCCUUGAAUAUAAGUUUCCUCUCUAGCAUCUCUACCAUGUUGGUCUGCUCAUCCAACCGCAUGCAGAAGGAAAUUUCCUCUUUGGUUUCAUCAUUAUCCAGAUAUUGGAGUUCACUUAAAGCAAUUGCUGCUCCUUUCAAGGAACUUAACUUCUGUCCCAUUUCUGUUACCAUCUUUUGAGCAUCUUCCAAACUCUUUUGUAGUAGUUCAAUUGUUUCUUCCUUUUCCAUGCAAACUUUGGCAGCCCUCUGGACAUCUUCACUAAUACAAACAUUAGCUUGAGGAAAUGAACAACCGAUACUUUCUAUUUGGCUGGAGGCAUUUUUGAGGGAUCUAGAACCAUCUUGGAGGAAUCUUGUUAUUUCAAAGGUUGCCUUUUCCCACUCCACACUCAGUGACCUUAUCUCAUCCUCUUUAGCUGCAAUGGUGUUUUUCAGUACCUUAUUUUCCUGAAUCAUGCAUUGUAAUCUCUCAUCAAGUUCAAACUGAAGGGCAGCAACCUCUUCCUGUAAAUGAAGAAUUGUGUUUGCUGUCUCCAUCUCAACCUGUUCACAGACUAUUUCAGUCUGUUUCUGGUGAAACAACUGUAAUAGCCGAUCCUCUUGAAAGUGGCUAUUGAGUAAUCUGACCUCCUCCAAGUCCUUAACCAUUUUGUCCAAUUUAGCUUGCAAAGCCUUCCUCUCAACGUCUUCACUGAUCUCCAUAAUACAUUUGUUUUCCUUAUGUAAAUCACCUGAUUUCAGAUAACGACGUUCAUGUUUCACCUCCGAUUGGAUUUCUAUUUUGUCGUUGUUGCUUGAUAUGUACAUGUCUCUGCAGCAUUCCUCCUGCACGUGAUGUAAAAUAGUUAUUAAAUGAACCUGCAACAAUCUAGCAUCCAUUUACUGUUUUUUUAGUAUCAUCACCAGCAUUUUGGUCAACAUGAAUCACAUUAUUCUGUACAACCCCAUCAUCUACCUGGGAGUAAGAUGCCGUUUCAUCUCCAGAGUCACUCCCCAUAGAUAGGGUUUCAACCUGUAAAGUGAUGACCAAUUGUAGAUUUGAUUCAAAAAAGAAGGAAAAGAACAGUACACGAUGUCUAUGUAAAGCUUGAAUCUAUUUAAAACUAAUUGGUUUCUGUCUGGUACAAAUUUUUUCCCUCUUCCAUGGAUCUUUUCUGUUUUCUUUUUAGUAACAUGAAGUAUGCAAGAAUGGAAGUGGUAACUUUUCCAUGAAUUAGCUUGGACAGUGCAACACAAAGUGAUUUCAUGGCAUACGUCAAAGUGCAAAUUCAAGGAGUGUACAUAAACUAGUAAACUUAAAAGAAAAUAAAGCAGCUAAUAAAUGCACUGUCGUAUGCUAGCCCCAGUAGAACUACUACAAAUUUGAGGGCAGUUUGUUGCAGUAACUGAUAAAACAUGUGUAAGUGUAUAUUGUUAAAGAAAAAAAAAAAACUGAUCAAUUUAGAAUUCAUGUUCCUGCAAUCUUCCGAUUCCUUUAUGGUAUUACUAUUCUGCACUCUUGAAAAUACGCACAUUAAGAUUUGGAGGUCCCAAAAUGGGGAGAUGUAUCAUUUGGAGGUCCCUAGAAUUCAUGUGCCCUUUGUCAUACUCCCUUAAACAAAUUUGAAUAUUCAAACAGUAUAGCCGCGCGGCUAUACUCUUUAAAUAUAUUAUGCUUUCAUUAUUAUUUAUUUUUUUUUAAAAACAAAAAAAGGUCCACAAAAUAAUUAUUUACUAUUUAUUAAGUAAUUUAUGAAAUCAGUAAAAUAUUUAAAUAUUCACUAAAAAAAAAAAAGGAAAACAACCUCUCUCGACGAAAUUUUUUCGGUAUAGAUAUAUGCCGGCAAUAAUUUUAUUGAUUAGACCUCUCUCGACGAAUGUUUGCCGACAUAAGUUUAUGUUGACAAAAUUGCGUUGGGAGAAGGCUAUACCGGCAAAGUUCGUCGGAAAAGAUCUAAUUUGAAAAAUUGUUGCUAGCAUAUAUCAUGGCGACAAAAUGUCGUCUAGAGAGAGGUUUUUAUUUUAUUUUAAUAAAUAUAAAAUUAGUCUUUUUACUCUUUUUUUGGCCAACUUCUUUCGUUUAGUAUAUGUAAUUAAGUGAUAAAAUUAGUGAUUUUGUUUUAGUGAUAAUUUCGUAGUUUUAAAUUUAAUACACUUUCGAGACUGAAAUUAUGCACCCUCCAAUCCAAUCCAAUAAAAGACACAAAUUAAUAGAUUUAUUAGAUAUUAAAUAAAUUCCUUUUUUGUUAAUGCAGAGGAAAAAGAAGAAGAAAGCAACCAAAUAAAGCAGAGAGAGAGGACAAGACAAUAGCAUAACCAAGGAAGAAACCUAGCUUGUGGGAAAGAUACUUAACUUGUUAGUUGCUAUUAUUGACGCAUGCAUGAUAUGGACCAUGACCAUCCAUAUGGUUUGCUUGAUUCAUUUCAAUUUUCAUUCCUGUGCUGCGCCUGCACAUAUUCAUUUAGGUUGCUUAGGAAUCUUGCACAAAUAUAUGGCUCUGCUUCUUCUUCUGGUUGAUAUUUUAAUAUGUUCGCUCAUAUGGCUUUGGUGUCUUUCCAUCCAUUCAUCUCUCAGUUCUGCUACUGUAACUCAACCAAUAUCAUCACACGUAUUACCAUUCAUUCUGGUGCUGUCCUUCACAAAAAACUAAACAAAACAGCAGCUAAUAAUGUUGUUUCUGCUGAAUUCCAUCCACCAAUUUGUAAUGACGGUCAACCUAUUAUUGGCACAACAAGCUUCUUCUCUUCAAAAUCAAGGCAGAGAGAAAGAGGGUUGUUGCUUGUGCCAUUGAAUGCCAAAAACUCUGGAUUACCAGGAGAUGAGGAGGAUCCGCGAGCUCUCGAAACAGUGCUCAAACUCUACACUGCCAUCAAGAACAAAAAUAUUCGCGAGUUGUCGGAGAUAUUAGGAGAUGAAUGCCAGUGUGUCUGCAACUUAUUCUCAAUUUUCCGACCCCUCCGAGGAAAGAAGGUAUACAUUUUAUAUAUACUGCUUGAUUUCAAUAUUAUAUAUAAUAUAAAACGAACGCUUAUGCAGUAAAUGUCAUCUUUCUUGAUGCAUUACGUGUUAAACAAAUCAUGAUUAAACAAUGUAUUCAAUCGUAAUCAGCUGCAGUUCUUCUUUUCUUUCUUUCUUUCUGUUUUUAAUUUGGAACUGUGACUACAACUGUUGCAGCAAGUAUUGGAUUUUUUCUCAUAUCUAAUCCGAAACUUGGGGAAUAACAUUGAAUUUGUUGUAACACCGACAUUGCACGAUGGAAUGAAUGUCGGAAUUCAGUGGAGCUUAGGUAUUUAUAUAUCACACAACAAAUUCUUUUUUUUAUUCUUUAAAUUAAGAUGACAGUAUACAAAUGGGAAACAACAAGUAGCUAGUUGGAUUGAUAUGCAGAGUGGAAAAAAACGCAUGUGCCUCUGGGAAAGGGCUUUAGCUUCCAUAUUUGUCAAAUCUACAAAGGCAAGGUGAUGUUAAGGUACUGCUUCAAAUUGCAUACCCUCUCUCUGAGUCUGAAUUAUUAGUUUUGAUAAUAAACAUCUUCUUUUCUUUUAGAAAUGUGGAGAUGUUCAUGGAACCACUCCUCCAUAUUGAACCCCUUAGACUGGUAAGCAAAGCAAGCACCUUGCGACUUCUUAUUUCCACUUCAGAAAUGUGUCCCUUAUUGCUGUUUUCUUUGUCUUCUUAUAUAUCACUUGUGCAGAAACUCAUGGGAAUUAUGACGGCUGUACUGGAUAAGAUUGGGUUCAAUGUAGUGUUCAAGGGCAAGGCAAACAGACUUGUGUUGGCUUUCCUCCUCCUGCUCAUCAAGGCCGCCAUUCUGAUUUUACUGAAACUCGUCUUGCAUUAAGCCACCAUCACCCACCCGAGGCGCAGGUGCUGCAGGGCAGACCUUGGUGGGUUUUGAUUUAAUGUACUAUUUUCAUACAAAUUAACAAUUUGCAAUUCCUUCUCCACUCCACCGUGUGAUGGUAAAGUCGAAAAUUUGAUAAGAAAAAGGUGCUCAUUCUGCAAAGGACUGUUGUAUUGCUGGUGAAACCUUUCAUACUUUCAGGCCACCCAUACAAAGUCCUGUCUCCAUCAUCAGUACUCAGUAUUAUUCAAUUUUAAAUGUCUGACAUAUUUACCAUCUCAAAGCCAGAAAGCAAAAAAAGCAAGUCGGAGUUAAAAGAGGAGUUUACUGCCAUGUAACAAGAUACACAAAAGCUGCAGUCAAAACUAACACUUACUGCCAGCCAUCUAAGAAAAUGCAAAGGGUCCUUCCACGCUGUACAGAGCAUUUAUCUUCUGUCACAGUUUCUGGGUUAGGAGAAGACAACUAAAAAGAACUAAACCCCGGGCAAUGGCAUAAACCAAGAAACUUGCCAUCAACCCACAGCACAUAGCAAUUCUACAUAUAAAUAACCACGACAAGUAAGACACCUAACCACGUCAAUGCACAAAAAAGAAAUAAACAAAGAAGAAAAAAAAAGCUUCUUUCCUAUCUUUUCUACCAUCAGAAGAGACCAGAUGGCAAAGGUCCCCAUGCACCUGCAAAAGAAUAAACAAACCACUCCGUCACUUGUUUAGGACAGAUCAGAGCAGGCCAUAGGCAGAAAAACUUUAGCAAAAGAUACAUCUACAGAGACAGGCAAAUAAACUAACAUAAAUAAUUUAAGAAAGAAAUGAGAUGGAGUAAACAUAUGGAAUUUAUACUAACCAGUCAACACUACCAGAAAUCACAAUUGUUUGAACAAGUGAUAGCGAUCUAACAUCUCGUGCAACCCCACUGCAGAAAUGCUUUCGCAUCCAAGAAGCUCGUGGAGCUUUGCGUCACAUAAUAUCACCGUAGAAUUUAAAGGAUCCUGCGGAAAUACAAGAACAGCACCAUCAUAAGUCUUUGUUCCAAAUGCACUAUGAUGGGGAAAAAAAGGUCGAAACAAAGUGAAGUAGCUCUUAAGCCAAUAUAAGGGUAAGGACAAAUACAGCAUUCACUAGAAGAAAUCAAUCCAACUUGUGACUGAUGAUGGAAUAAUGGACAAAAGUACGAUGUCUCCAAUAAAAUAAUCAUCUUAGAUCCACGAGACGGAGAAGGUACAAAAUUGUGCAGCAGGAUCCUACCUCCAAACGGUUAGCCUUUACAUACUCCCAAACAAGGCUUCUUGCCUUAGAUAGGAGCAUCUCCCUUCCUCCAAAGCCCAAAAACUUAGCUAGUGCUUCAGAUAUUCCUACAGUAGGGGAACCAGGUUGUGGUUGUGGUUGAACUUGAGGUUGAGGUUCAGUACUAUCAGUGGUGGACUUGGCCUCUAACUUCAAUCGUUUAGCUUGAGUUGACUCCUCUGCAUAUAUGCAGGAGAAAUGUUAUACAUAAAAUCAAAGAUAUCAUUACACACACUGUGUAGCAAUAUGCACAAUGUUGACGUACUGUUAGGUCCAAGGGGUAUAAUAUGUUUAGCUAGCAGCUUAUUCAUCUUGAACAUGUCAGUACAGUCUGUCUCAAAUACCACACGCAAGGCAUCAUCACAAAUUAUCUUUCUCUUAUUACUUGGAUCUUGGAGGUUGUUCUUCCUUAUGUAUGCCCAGAGCUGCUUUACAAUCUGAAAUACGCAAAAUAAAAAGUCAAUGUACACCCACAAACAUGCAUUAAGAUUUACACACAAAAACUUAAUCCACAUCAUUGGAAAGUUAGCAUAAAAAGAGAAUCUGGGUUGAUUUGGGAGUAAUAACCUCAGUCCUUGGCAAGGCCGGUUCACCAACAACAGCCUGAAGCUCAGGUGAGACACCACAGACUUUGUUAAGACCCCCUGGCCCACCUCUUCUCUUGGUUCCAGAAGCCGGAGCACUGCAGUAAAAUUAUGACCGACACAAACAUGCCAGGUCAUUUUAUUGCAUUAUGAAUAAAGCACUGAAUCAUAAUAGAUUACUUACAACUACAAAACAAAAAGAUAAAGAUUUGAGCUUUUCCAACUACAGAGAAAACUGCCCUAUUUAAAAUUUUAAGAAAAGAAGAAGAAUUUAAUAUAAUGGAACUUUAAAGCACUAAUCCUCCAAAUUUAUGCAAAAAUGUUAAACCCCAACCUAACAGAUAAGCUUACUAGUUUAAUUAGCAAGACCACAUGCUAAGCCAGCUCUUUAAUACGCAAAUUUGAUUUUAUGCUAAGCUCAAACUUAUAGUUUUUCAUACAUUGAAAAGUCAAGCACUUUUUAAAAUAUAAUUAGGGUGAGACUGCAACUGCAAGAGUAAGUACUAGUUGAUUUGUAUUUCAUGCUUUGGGAGUAAGGACAAACAAUAACAGUUUUGACUUUUAUAUGGAAGACAAUACGGUAACAAAAAGGUUAAAACUUUCCCAUUACAGUAAUAUCAGGGUUUAAUUGCCAAUUUCCAUAUGUUUCUUUAUUUGUUACAAACUAUUUUAAAAUCUCUCAUUCACACAAAGCGAUACACGCCGGCAAUUUGACCUUAUCAGUCUUAGUUUUACCCAAAAAGGGAAACCAUAAAAAUUUCAAAUAGCAAGUACUAGCAAUUAAAAUAUGCAAUUUAGCGAAACUUGGUUAGCAGGAAACAGGAAAAGUACAAAACUUUCAAAACGGCCAUUAACGAAAUAUUGCUAAUUGGAAACUCUAUAAACGUGUACCACUUACAUUUCAUAGAAACGCAACCUUUGCAAUCUAAAGGAAAGUAAAACCCUAAAAAUUCACCAUUUCUGAUUUGAAAUUUUGAAAACAAAAUCCAAACCUCUCUUUGGGAGUUUCUGGGGCGACUUUAGUGGCAUUCUGCGCCAAGGCCUCGUGCUUCACAGCGGGAGGCUGCAGCUGAGCCUGAGGCCGCAGUUGCUGAGGCGGCGGCGGCUGCUGGAAGCUGUGGGGCUCGGGGGCGCGGUGGUGGGGGUGGAGGGCAAAAUGGGGAGGAAAUUGUUGGGGGAGGAAUUGAGGAUGGUGGUGGUAAUGGUGCUGGGGGUUGGUGUGGAGGGCAAAAUGGUCUUUCGGAGGUUGGUGUUGGGGUUGCGGUUGGGCGUACGGGCGGAGGAGGAAGCUGAUCUGGUCCCGAAUGAAGCCAGCCUUGUGGGACAGGUCUAACCCUAGCUUGGCCUCGAGCUGCUGAACGACACCGUUUACGGAGGUGACGUCGUUAGGGCCUGAUUGACGGAGAACAGUCUCCACACCUUCCGCUAUUUCUUGGUCCGACACCAUGCUGGUACACACAUAUAUUAACAGAAUAAACGGAAACCAAACGCUCUUCACUCUCUCUCUCAGCCUGCUCUCUCUCUUCUUCUCUCUGUCUCUCUCUUCCUCUCUCUGUCUCUCUCUACUCUUUACCGCUCUCUUUAUAACGCUGAAAUGACGAAAAUAUCCCUUCAUGUUGAUUUUAUUAUGAAAAGUCGGUAAAGCCCAUCGUUCUGUCCACUCUGAGUUUCAGACUGUUGAGCUCGAUCUCCCUGUCCGGUUUCCAGAAGACGAAAGUACCCUUUUGAAUUUCACCCUAUCCAUCCCAUUAUGGGUAAAAGAUUCGGGGUAAAUAUGUCACGUGGGAAAGUUGCAGCUGGUUUUCUUUUGUUCCUCUUUUUGUUUCACUUUUCAAAUUAAAGAUAAAGAUAAAGAGAGGUAAACAUUGUCUAGAGCUACAGAAUCAAACUGGUUGAUUGAAUUACGAUAAUGCCCUGAGUCCUGACUGGACCUCUGCAACUUUGCGAUCUUUUUCUCUGACGAAUGAGAGUCUGCUUUGUGGAGAAGGUAAGGGCAAAUGUGGUCAACAAAAUAUGAUUUCUCGCCUUGACUAUGGACCGUUGGAUAAGAAUUGGUGGGUUUGGUCAACUACUGUUGAAUGUGAUCGCUUGAUCCAAAGGUCGAGAAAGCACUUUCAAUUAUCUAUCAGACUGACCAUGUUUCUUCACCUACCACCUACCUCUCUUUAUGUGAUCACUUGCAAUGUACUAAAGCUAGUUCAAUGAUACUCGACAGAUUAUAUACUUUGUUAAGGCAGUUUAUGCAAAAACAAGAGAGAGAGAGAGACACACACACACACAUGAAGAACGCAAUUCAAAAGAAGGAAUAUUGCAAACAACAUUAAAAAUAAAGCAUAGUCAUAGUAAGAGUGGCUCCAGCGAAGGAGCCCAGCCCGAGGCAAGGGCAGAAAAAAAAAAAAAUUUCGCUCCAGCGUGUAGCCCAGGCCCGGGUUUGGUGUGGGACCCACCAACUCGGGCCAGCCCGAAGGCCAAACCAGCCCCAGGUCCAAAACGCGGGUGCUGACGUCAGCGCUGACGCCAGCGCCAACGGUAGGCUGCCACGUGUCGCGCUCAGUGCCUUCCGAUCUGCUUCUCCUUUCUAAUCCAACGGCUGAGGCUUUUUUGGGUGAAAAAAAUAUGAAAAAAAAUUCUAAAAAAUUCUAAAAAAUUAUGGUAUUUUUUUCUAUAAAUACCUAUCAAUACCCUUCACUUUCAACACCAAUACUCUUACAUUUCAUUAUACUUCUACUAAUAUUCACUCUUUUUACACAACAUUUUCCUCUUUUUCAUCUAGCAUUUUGAUUUCAUAUUUUUAUGGCUUCUUCUAUCGAAACCGGAGGGGCUUGGAGCACAAUGGAAGAUGUUUCUUUGUGUGAGGCUUGGCUCCAAAUUUGUCAUUGUCCCGUGUCCGGCAAUGAAAUGAAAUUUUUUCAUAUGUGGAAAAAAAUUCAUGCCGAAUUUUGUGAAAAAAUUCCGGGGUCUACUCGUACGGAGAUGGCAUUAUCCAGUAGGUGGAAAAUUCUCAAUAAAGAGUUGGGAAAAUGGAGAAAUGCCCUAGCAAAAGCGAUGGACAACUAUAGAAGUGGGCAAAAUCGUACUAACGAGGUAAGUAUUUUAUAAUUUUUGUGUUAUUAAGUUUAAUCUCCUAAUAUAUAUAUAUUUUGUUAAUAUUGCUUACAUUUUCAAUAUGUUGUAUAUAUUUUGUUAAUAUUGCUUGCAUUUUCAAUAUUUUGUUAAUAUUGCUUGCAUUUUCAAUAUGUUGUAUAUAUUUUGUUAAUAUUGCUUGCAUUUUCAAUAUUUUGUUAAUAUUUCUUGCAUUUUCAAUAUGUUGUAUAUAUUUUGUUAAUAUUGCUUGCAUUUUCAAUAUUUUGUUAAUAUUGCUUGCAUUUUCAAUAUGUUGUUAAUAUUUCUUGUAUUUUCAAUAUUUUGUUAAUAUUGCUUGUAUUUUUAAUAUGUUGUUAAUAUUUCUUGCAUAUCCAAUAUAUUUUAAAUAUUUAUUGCAUUUCCAUUUUUUUGUUCAAUAGAUGAUUCAAGCACAAAUGUGGUUCGGUGCAACCGGGGGUGGCAAAAAAAGUUUCACCCAUCAUGAAUGUUGGGAGGUGGUGAAAUUUUGCAAACGCUUCGUAAUUAUUCCAACGGGUCCGGAGGUUGUGUUAAACGAGACGCCACUCCGUGAUUCAAUGACAUCGGAUUCACCUCUUGAUUCUCCUAUGAGUCAAGACUCACCCAUCGAAAAGGAGCCGAGGCCCAUUGGCCGAAAGGCCGCGAAGGCAAAGAAGAAGGGUAAUUCAAGCAAUCAAAAUUCACAAUUUUUGGAGGAAAUUGCAAGGCAAAACGGCAUAAGAAUAGAAAUGGAGCAAAAACGCCAAGAGCACGAGUUGGCCCUUGAUGCUGAGUUUGUACGUGAAAGGGAGUAUUUGCGCAAAAAAGAUAUGGACAAGACAGAUCGGGAAACCAUGGCGAUGAAUACAAGUCAUAUGUCCCCUGAAACAAAACAAUUUUGGAAGCUAGAACGAAGGGAUGUUAUGAGAAGAAGACUUUUCCGGGAUGAUGGGCCUAGCAACUCGGAUUGGUUAAAUGAUGGAAACCAUUAAAUUAGUUAGCAUAUCUUUUAUGUAUUUGUAUUUUAGUUGUUUUCUAUUAAAGUUGUUAUAAUUCAUGUAUUUUAUUUUAUUAGUAAUUCAUAAUGACUUGUAUUACAUUUCAUUAUUUAAUAAACAAAGCAUUCAAUAAAUUACCUUUUUAUUCAACAUAUUCCAUACUUCAAACAAAACAUAAUAAAAUUAAAAUUAAAAGUACAAACAAGGCACAAUAAUAAAAAUAAAAGUACAAACAAGGCACAAUAAAAAUAAAAACACAACCAAACCAUACUAAAUAAAACAUAAGCAAAGCAUCUAUUCUCCAUUAUUAAUCUUCAUUGCCUUUCACCGCCCAUAGAUGCUCCAUCAAGUGAAAUUGACGCAUUUCAUGAAUAUACGAAGAUUGCAUCUCCGUAUAUCGAUCUAUCAUUCGGGUCAUCAAAUGACCAUCCCUCACCAACGGUUCCGGCUCAAACGGUUCUCCAUUUGGCCCCAUGGGCCUUUCAUAAAUCCGUGUCAAAGCCGUGUUCAUUGGAUCCGGUUCGUAGACCUCUAAAGCAUCAUAAUCGUACUCAUCCUCCACAAUCAUAUUAUGGAGGAUGAUGCAAGUCAUCAUAAUGCUUCUGAGGAUCUCCUCAUCAAACAUGCGGGCCGCACCUCGAAUAAUCAACCACCUGGCUUGAAGGAUGCCAAAACACCUUUCGACAUCUUUCCUGUAUCCCUCUUGAUAUGUAGCAAAUAAUUUUUGCUUCUGGGAUCGGGGAUUUGGAAUGGUUUUGACAAAAGUCGUCCACCUCGGGUAGAUUCCAUCAGCUAGGUAGUAUCCUGUCUGGUAUACUGUAUUGUUGACUUCAUAGGUGACAUUGGGGCCCUGACCUCUCAAUACAUCGUUGAAGACGGGGGAUUGACCCAGCACGUUGAGGUCAUUUUGUGAUCCUGCAACUCCGAAGAAGGCAUGCCAAACCCAUGUGUCGAAACCAGCAACCGCUUCAAGGAUGAUACUUUUUUGGCCUUUUCGAUUUCCAUAAUCACCUUGCCAGGCAGUUGGGCAAUUCUUCCAUUGCCAAUGCAUGCAGUCGAUGCUACCAAUCAUUCCAGGGAAUCCUCGAGCUUCGGCUUUUUGCAGAAGCCUUUGGAGGUCCCUGGGAGUAGGUCUACGCAGGUAGUCUCUAGUGUACAGAGUUUCAACAGCUUGACAAAAUCUUACCAAAGCCUCCAACGUAGUGGACUUCCCCAUCCGGGCAUCCACCUGAUCAGCAGAUGCUCCAUACGCCAACAUUCGUAUAACAGCUGUAAGCUUUUGCUCCGGAAGAAGCCCCAAAACCCCAGCAGCAUCACACUUUUGAACAAAGUAUGCAUCAUAAUUGCAAAUAUCAUGCAUGACUUUAUUGAACAAAUAAGGUUGCAUUCUAAAUCGCCUUCGAAAAUCAACAUCAGAGUACAAAGAAGUUGGGAUAAAAUAAUCUUCCAAAAGAUUCUUACCCCUAGAAUGCCUAUGUCUUUCCACAUUCCGGCGGCGGCCGGCUUGUGAACUAUGGCGGCGACCUAGGUUCUCUUCUUCUUCCAAAGCCACUGUUAUGAGAACUUGCUCAUCGACUUGUCUCUGCAACUCAUUGACUUCAUCUGCUCUACGGUUUCUCUCUCUUCUUUCUCUCUCUUGUCUCUCCAAGCAUCUCCUAAAUUCUUCCAUUCAGAAUGAAUGAAGUAUGAAUUAUAAACUCUCAGAAAUGAAAAUAUAGAAAGAUGUGGUGUGAGAGGUAUGAGCUGAGACUCUGGUUUUAUAGAAAAAUUUGGCAAGAUAGACAUGCCAUGUGGCUUGAUUUUAUUGGAUGAAAAUCAUAUCUGAAAUUUGAAAUUCAUCCGAAAUUUGAACCCUAAUUUGUAUGAAAUUCAAAAUUUGAAAUUCAUCCGAAAUUUGAACCCAAAUUUAUCUGAAAUUUGAACCCAAAUUUAUCUGAAAUUUGAAUUUUGAAAUUCAUUCAAAAUUUGAACCCAAAAAUUUAUCUGAAAUUUGAACUUUGAAAUUAAUCCGAAAUUUGAAUCCAAAUAUCUUAUCCGAAAAUUUUAUCUGAUUAUGAAUAGUCUUGACACGUAGGAAUCCGAAAAUCUUAUCUGAAAAUAUUACCCAAAUUAAUUAUUUUCAUUAAAAAAUAGGAGGAAAAAACAAAAAAGUGAAUAGUAAUUGCCAUGGCUAAGGGCAACGGGUGGAGAAACGAUUUACUAUUUGCAAGGGCAACCACUAUUCACGUGAAUAGUGCUUGCCCUAGCUCCACCCUUGCCAUGGCUAAGGGCAAAUGGGUGGAGUUGCUCUAAGACAAUCAACCAAAAAAUAAAAAUUUACGUUAUUCUUAAAAUCCAUCCGAAUGAGAGCUAAAGGUAAAAUCAUAAAACACAAAUAUAUGACACAUGAAAUAUAAAUUACUUAUAUAUAUAUAUAUAUAUAUAUAUAUAAAGAUAAACAGUUUAAGAAUGUUAUGGUUAGUUAAUCGUUUACGUUUGUGAAUUUAUUAUGAUAAAUCAACAAUUAAGAUCAAACUAUUAAUGCACUUACUCACAUACAUUUUUCAUUAGAUCGAUCGACUCACAUGCUUGUGGGAUUGAUGGGAUAUAACUUUUCAGACACAAUACCUAAUUUAGAUGGAUAAUAGUGUGGUGUUUGUAAGGGAUACUUUCUCCAUAGUUGAGUAUUGGCUUUUCCGGCCAUGCAUAUAGUGUCCAUAAUUAAAAUUUUAACAAUUUUAUGUUUGGUGUGUUGCGGGAAUAUAAAUAGCUUGAUUUGAUUCUUAACCAAAUUUUACAUGGAUGAUUAUGUUUGUUUCAAGACACACACACAAACUUUGAAUUGGAGCACGUAUAAUGAAGCUUUCAAUUGGUGGAGACAAAUAAUUCAUUUCUCCCUAACAAAAUAAAGAGAUUGAAAAUGACAACAUUCUCAACCAUGCAUGACAAACAUGUUUUAUAAUCAUACCUCAACUAAUUUUGACUAUCUUUUUAACAUCAAGAGAUAGUCAAAAUUAGUUGAGAUGUUUGCAAUGAAUUGAUAUGUGAUCUUCUUUAAAUAAUAAUAAUAAUAAUAAUAAGUGAUAAAACGUGAAAUUGCCCUACGUCAAUUCACAUCCAAAUUAAAGGUGUUGUUGAUCUAUGAACAUUUUGUUUAUUUAUUGAAGAAAAAAUUGAAUUUGAAACCUCUUUUAAUAUUGUAAAAUACAAAAGUAGUUAGUAAAAUUUGAUUAUUUAUUUUUAAAAAUUUUAAUUUUGGUCAUAAGACGAAUGAAAAAAAGGCCUCAUCAUUAUUUUUGACAUUAGAUUAUAAAAUAAUUACAAAAAAAAGGGUAUUUGUGGCCAAUUUGGCAUUACUGUGCUGUGAAAAUAAUCGUUGUCAAAUUUGAUGUGACAGAAAUCAGUUGAUAGAGAAAGCAAUAUGGCAUUUGGUAAACUUUUUGUUAAAAGUGUUAUUGGUACUAAUUCUCGCAUAAUAAUAAAAUAAUUCCUAUAUAAUCAUUAAACUCAGCGCCUCUUCGAAAUUGAUUCCUUCAUAAUCAAAAAAUGAAAGCACAUCAUUAGCUGCUUUCCCUUAGCUUUCUCUCACAACAAUUUUAACAAUAAGUGAUUUUCUCAUAGUUUACCAAACGGGCUGAGUUUUCCACAAUUUUUAAAAAUCAAUUAUACUCAAAAUAAGCAAUGCCAAACUGGCCCUACCUAUGCUGUGAAAAUAAUUUCUGUCAGAUUUGCUGUAAGAGAAAUCAGCUGUGAGAUAAAGCAGUUUAGCGUUUGGUAAACUUUUUGUUAAAAGUAUUGUUGGCAUUGAUUCUAGUAUAAUCAGAAAAUGAUUCUAGUAUAAUCAGAAAAUGAUUCCCGUAUAAUCAUUAAACACAGCGCAUUUUCAAAACUGAUUCUCGAAUAAUCAGAAAAUGAUUCUAGUAUAAUCAGAAAAUGAUUCCCGUAUAAUCAUUAAACACAGCGCAUUUUCAAAACUGAUUCUCGAAUAAUCAGAAAAUGAAAGCACCUUAUUAGCUGCUUUCCCUUAUAGCUUUAUUUUACUGUAAUUUUUAAUAAUAAAUGAUUUUAUCAUAAUUUACCAAACGGAUGAGCUUCCCAAUUUUUUUUUUAAAAUCACUUCUCGUAGUCUGUACGAAGAAAAGAACCAAACGCAUCGUUUGAUUCUAAGGUUUCCCAACGUUUAAUACAAGGGAAAGGCUUGGUGUGGGAAAUGCGAAGAUGACGCUGGUUCUUAACCUAAUCCCGCCAUCCCAAAUCCUACUUCACUCGUCGUCGUCUCAUCCACUGCCAACUACUAGUUCCCGUCAAAAUGAAACAACCCAAGAUUGGACUGCUCUGCUGUUCAAGCUCAAAUGCCGCGGCAGGUUCUCUUGCCUUUUCUCAGAUAAUCGCAAAGAGGUCCUAAAAUUCGUAAUUUGAACUCAGUUUCUCUUCUUUUGUUGCGUGCUUUUCCUAUUUUAUGUUAUGCUACGAAAUGAAAAUUUUCAUGUUUCAAAUUUGUCAAGAGAUGAAAAAUAACCCAAGUUCCUCGUUUGGCAGCUCAAUAUGUGGGUAUAUGUAUAUUGAGAUAAAUUGAGCAAUUAGGUUUAACUGGGCAUGUAGUGUUGGUAGGCAAUAAAUUCUUUGUCUCCACUUCGCCUUGUGCUGUUUGGAGAUUUGCAUAAUCACUUAAGUAGGGUGUGUAAUGCUUCAUUUGAAGUUCGAAUUUAUCAAAAAAUUGUUCAUUCUUUAAAUGCUUCAGGAAAGUGAGUUUUAGGAGCUUCACACAUUCGCCCAUUGUUUUGAAUUUUGAAUUACAGUAGAGUAUUUUGUAGUUUGAGCGUUCAAUGUGUUGGAGAAUUUACUUCUUACAAGUAUAAAAUGUGGAUUAUUUGAUUUGUAGAUAAGAAUACAGAUGAAUAUUAGGCAGUUGAUCCUUCUAGAAGAAUACUUGGGUACAUGCCGGUUUACUGUUGGAUUCUCUCUCUUUCGUAAUUUGCUGAGCAUUUUUUUUCCUUCAUGGAGUUAAAAGCUGCACACAGAAGGUAGUUCUACUAAGCUUGCACAAAAGCCUUAUCCAAACAAUUGGAGCAAACAACUUUGGUUUUGCCUGAUAAUACCUUUACGGUUCACUAAAGGUUAUGGAUAUGAUAGUAGUAUAGUUGUCAUUGAACAUAAUCAGUCGUUCUAGGUAUAGGACCAAUAUAAGGUCUAACUUGACACAUGCACAUCAGCAUUAGGACAGAUACCAAUAUCUAUCAGAUAUAGUUGUUGAGCAUAGGAGUUCGUUUGGUCUCUCGGCCCCUCAUUUCAUCUGAUUUUAUUGAAUGCAGAAUGCCAUGAUAUAGUUUAGAUGCUGGUUUCUUUUGCGCAGAUGAAUUUAACUUUGCCAUUUCUAUCGUUCUUCUAGGAGCAAGCCAGGAAAGCAUUAGAAGGUGCACUUGGUGGGAAAAAAAGUGAAUUUGAGAAAUGGGACAAAGAAAUUAAGAGAAGAGAGGAGGUGGGUGGAGGCGGUAGUGCUGGUGGAGGGGGAUGGUUUGGGUGGCGUGGAUGGUUUGGAUGGUCGAAUGGUGACCAUUUCUGGCGAGAAGCACAACAAGCAAGUCUUGCUGUGUUGGGUAUUAUCCUGAUGGUAAGCAUUUCCUUGUUUCUUUUCUAAAUUCAGCUGAAUACCAUCAUGUUGUAAAUAUAUACUCUCUCUCUCUCUCAUGAUCUUAUUCUUUAUUUUUUAGUAUCUCAUAAUUGCAAAGGGAGAACUGAUGCUUGCUGUCAUCUUCAAUCCGUUAUUGUAUGCCUUGCGAGGGACAAGAAAUGUGUUCGCUUUCAUAACUUCUAAAAUCUUAAGGAAGAGAGGACCAGAUGGUCAGGUUGUUUUUGAUAAUAUCUCGAAGAAUGAAGCCUACAGUAGUGUCUCUGCUAAAGACAGUGUUCUGAGAAAAUGGGGAAGUGCGUGAUAAUUUUGUUUCAGGUUUGAGAUCACUCGCAGCAUGCAUUGAGAAUUUGGCCACUAUUUUUGUAUCCUAUGUUUUUUGUAUCUGAAGUCCAGGAUGUGUUUGAAUUGCCUCAAUGCCCAACCUGUUAUCAACCUAGGAUUUUUGUAUGCUAGCCUUACAAUCCCUAGCAUUCUCAAUGGAACUUUUGACUGCACAUAAAUUGUUAUUUGAUUGACGGAGUUUCAACCUCGUAUGUAGACAGUAUAAUGAAUCAGUCCAUUUUACUUUUCGAUGAUUUUUGGAUGCAUAGGUUGGUUUUUAUUAUGGACACAUAAUCAAACUCCCCUUGUAAAAACAGACAAAAAUUGUCCAUAUCUUUGUGUAUUUGUUAGCAUUGUCAACAUUUUUUAACCUAUUGACUGUAGUCUUUUCUCCUUUAUUAUUAUUUCUCUUAAUAAGAAAAAAAGGAAAAAUGAAAAUGGGCAUGGUAAAUUUGCAGCCAUCAGAUUUUAAUGUUCUGUCCAGAUUUAGGCACAGAAGUUUGGAUAAUUUAGGAUGCACGAAAUUUUGGCCCUAUAGUAGUUUUGAACUGUUGAUUUCUGAACGGUAAUUUACAACUUGUGCAUUCAAAUUUUGAAUCAUAUGAAAUUCCAAAAAUGUCGUGGUCUCCGCCAUGAAUGUUGAUAAUGAGAGCUGAAAUUAAGCCAUCGUCGUCACGUCAAUAGCGUAUGAGAUAGUUGUAUGCAUCAAAACUUUAAAAGGUUCUGGGCUUGAACUGACCAUCACCAUGCGUAAAUUGGGUUAGUCUGGUUGGCUGAUUUCACAAUCAUCUGAGCUGUAUUUCCUACUAUGAACAACCUAGCAACACUUAAUGUUUGACAGCAGACAGCCACAACUGUUACGACACUAACAGCAAUGAAGUGGGGAAAUUCGAACUUGGGACUUAUUUCGAUAUUAAGAAGAGAAGUACCGCUAGAUAAAGAGUUAGUUGAUCAAUAGAGAUAUUACAAUUUACAAGGGUGUUGAUAAUUGGCCUAAUAUAAACCAUUGACCAAAACUUCUAUAAUAGGGUGCAAUAAUAAUGCUAUCAUUGCUGGACUCCUCGACAUUGGAUUGUUUAAUUAUUUUUGGUAGUUUCAAUUUGAAAUAAUAUCGUACCAAAGAAAUUAGAAUGCAUCAUCAAAGCUUCACCACCAACCAAAUUAAUUGAAAAUACAUGUCAUGCAUACAUGUUAUGUUAUCUGGAAAUGCUCUGCCUUUGAAUUUUAUAUAGCAUUGUGGUUGUGGAGCUCUAUAGUGGAAACAUUCAGAUGCUUAAGACUCAUAAACCCUCACCUUUUAUGUUCAUUUUUCUUCUUCUUCAUGUUUUACCAGAAGCUACAAUUUUGGGAGGUCGUGAGCAGAGAGAAGAGAGCAGAGAGCAGAGCAUGGUUAAAAGAAAGAUAAAAACCCAUAAGAAGGGGUCAAGGUGCAGCUUUGGUCCACCCAAUCUUUAGGCUAGGCUGUCUCAUCUGAUGUGUUUGUUUCUGAGUUUUCAAACUAAAUUGAAAGAAAAGCCUCCUCGAAUCUUGGUCUUCGUGGAACCUAGUGCAGCAAGAGUGACCCUCACGAUCUCGCCACCCGUUUCUUUCUCUCUCUCUCUUCUUUUUUCUUCCAUGGAAAAGACUCAAUUUCGGAUCACCACACGACCUUUUCCUCUCUGCUUGAACUCUGCCUAAACAGUCCCUUCUCUCUGUCUCCUCUUUUUUUCUGUUGCUGUCUUUUUCUUGCUGCAAGUUUUAUCCUUGUUGGGUUUUCUUGGUUUUCUGUUUAGCUUUCUUUCUGGGUUUCUUUGACCCAAUUAGUCUUUCUUUCCUUCCUUUCUUGUUAUACUCAAAUUCACUCAUUUUUUAUUGGGCUCUCUCAUUUUUUGUUGUUUUCUCACAGAGAUUCUUCUUCCAAGUGGAUUUGCCGUGUUCUUUUGCUUUUUGCCAUUUUGUUCUGGUUUUUACUUGCAUUUAUACUUGGUCAUUGGGUCUACAUUCUCUGUGCCAUUUUAUCUUUCUUUUUUGUUGGGUUGAUGGGCUGUUGAUGUCUUUGGCUGUUGGAGUGAAUUCAAGUUCCAAAAACAUGGGUUUGGAUGAUGAGACUGGCGCUGAAGUUUCAGAAGCAAAGACAGCUAAAACGGCUACUGACGUGGAUCAAUCAUCCACAGGGUUGGUUAGAGAACCGAGUGAGAGUUCCAUGUACGUAACUGAGGAUGAUGAUGACGAUGAUGAAGUAAAGAAAAUUGAGUUGGGUCCUCAGUGCACUCUCAAAGAACACAUUGAGAAGGAUAAGGUUUGAUUUUCAAUUCUUCUUUCUUUUCAUAAUUUGUUCUCCUUUGUCCCUCUCUUUCUAAUGGCCUUCUAGUUUUAUAUCUGUGUAAUGUUGUUUGUUUUGGUGAUCAUUUGAGGUUUUAGGACGAUGAGAGCUUAAGGAGGUGGAAGGAACAGCUUCUUGGGAGUGUGGAUGUUAAUUCUGUUGGAGGUAAGCAUUGUAACGAGCCAAAUGCUUUUGCUUUGAAGUUCGUUUUGUCAGUGAAAAAAUGGAACAGAAAAAAUGUUUAAACUUUGAAUUUUCCCCUUCAUUUCACUGCUGAGGUUCAAAAACUUUAGUUCUGUCACUUGCAGAAGGCAUGCGAAAGUACUUUCUAUCAACUAAAAUCCUAUUCUCUCUUGCAAUAUAUAUAUAUAUAUAUAUAUAUUUAUCUUGUCACUUGGUAAGAGUUCUAUUGCGAAUCAGAGGUCAAACUUGUUCUAUGCUCUGAAAAGCUUUUGUUUUUUGGUAAAUUUGGCCCUCAUGCCUCAUCUUGUUGUCAUAAGUCUUGUCAUACCAGAAAUCGCAUGCAGUUUCUCCUAAUUAAAGUUGAAUCUUCGGAAUUUAGAAGCGAUUUUGUUUGCAUGCUUCUACUUUAUAUCUUAGCAGUUUAUUGGUGUAUCUUCAACGUUCAGUACAAUAGAUAUUUGUACUGUUUCAUUUCUCCCUGAGUGUUCCUUGUUUCUCUGUUUUUCUGUAGAAACUCUAGAACCAGAUGUUAAGAUCCUGAGCCUUGCAAUUAAAUCCCCUGAUAGAUCUGACAUAGUUCUUCCUAUUCCUGAGAAUGGAAAUCCCAAGGGCUUGUGGUUUACUUUGAAAGAAGGUAGCCGUUACAGCCUUCAGUUCACUUUCCAGGUCAGCAAUAACAUUGUUUCAGGUCUCAAAUACACUAACGCAGUCUGGAAAACUGCUGUAAAAGGUACUUUCUCUCUCUCUCUCUCUCUCAUUCAAAUUAUGUAACAGGAUAGAUUAGCCUUAUAAUGAAGCUGGGAUUGGAUGUUUUCCUUCUUACGUACGGAUCCUUUUUGCAGUUGAUAGCACAAAAGAGAUGCUCGGAACCUUUAGCCCACAGUCAGAGCCUUACACACAUGUGUUGCCUGAGGACACAACCCCAUCUGGCAUAUUUGCAAGGGGAUCUUAUUCAGCUAGAAGCAAGGUAAGUUAAUCCAGUGCUUGAUGUUAAUUUCCACUCAGAUUAGGCCAUACAAUUCGAGAGAAAGCGGUAUAUGCCCAUAAACUGAUAGAUUUGUUACAUACACAACCAUCAUGCAUCUGUUCAUAUAUUUUUCGUUCUGUUGAUAUUAAUGUUAUAACCUGAGUUAUCUGCUAAUUGCAUCCCAUGAAUGAUUGUGUGCAUGAUGAACUUCAGAUUUCAAAUUCAACCUCAGAUUUCUAUCUAAUUUUCUAAUAAAUAAAUAGCUUCAAGUUUUGGAUUUAGUCUCAUCUUGUGAUUUCCUUUUUCUUUGUGGUCCAGUUUGUUGAUGAUGACAACAAGUGCUACUUGGAGAUCAAUUACACCUUUGACAUUCGGAAAGACUGGCAAUCGGUGUAAAACAACUGCAGUUUUGUUUUGUUUGUAGUAACAGUCCAUUGUUUUUCAAGCUGAGAGAUCUGCUUCAUUGUGAACAUGUCAAAAAAAUUCGAAUGCCUUGUUUAUGUUUCAAACUUCUUAAACAACGAGGAGAAGGAGAGGAUCCUUUGAAAAAGAGAGGGGAAGGGGGGGAAGUAGAAAAGAAUGGUUAAUUCUUUUGGUAGGUAUUUGGUUAAUAAAUUGAGCUUUUGUUGUUUAAUAGAACACUCUCUUUCUCUGGGAUUAUUGUUUAUGUGAUGUUAAUUGAAGCUUGCUCUUACUCAAGUGGCUUGACCAUUUUAAUUAUUCCUGUGGGGGGCAAAGGACACCUUUAAAGCUGAAAAGCAGUGCAGGGUUUCUUACUUACAGCCCUUUCCAUGUUAAUUUUGACCCCUUUUUUCUUUUCUUUGGUCGCUUCUCCUCCGUUGACGCACGCUACCCCUCUCUCACAACCCCCUCAUUAUAGCAUUUCCGUGUUCCAUCAUAAUCAUAUGGCCUUUUCAAGACAAGCUACUUAAAAAUCAUCUUGGCCAGACACAAUAAAAGAACAUUAUUCACCCGAAAAAAUAAAAUAAAAUUCCAAGAUCAAUAUUAGAGCAAAGGCAAAGAUAAGCAAAUGGAUCUUGAAGUGGACUUUUCUAGUGAAAAUAUAAGCAAAAUACUGUAAUCUUUCAUUAUUCUUUCGCAAUUUUUUAUGCACAAUAUUACCCAACUUUAAAAUAUGUUACCGAAAUAAUACUCACUCUAGUCUUUGAUCCGUUGAUGGUAAUUCAUCUAGCAAGUCAUAUGCUUUUAUUUUAUUUUCAAGAAAUUAUAAAAUUGGUAAAUGUUUUAGCAAUAAAUAAAUAAAUAAAUAAAGUAAAUGGGCCCAGAUAUUUGUAUUUUGGGCCUAAUAAGUAUGAGGCCCAAUUUAAGGUAAGAUGGUUGUGCAAGGCCUAAUCUGUAAGCCUUCCUUUCUUGGUCUCAUCUCCUAUGACUCUCUUUUCCAGUUUUGCUUUGAAGGAUCGAAAGGCGCUCUGUUACUUCUCCAAACUGCAAAACACCAUACUGAUCCAGGUAAUUCUACCCCCUUCACCGAGCUGAUUUUAUAUGCAUUUUCAAAUCACGAGCUAUUUCCAAGAUAGCUUCAAAUUAUUUCGGACGCGAAAACGAAGCAAAAUCCUAACACAUAUAACAUUACACUGUUUUUUGCUCUCACUUUCCCGCGUUUUCUCGGUAACCAAACGGAGCAUUAUUCUUUUUCCUUGCUCUUAAAACUCGGAAUAUAAUAAUUAAGUUUUCAGUCAACUAUUUUCUUGCGUUUGUUAUCUUUUACAGGUUUCUACUCUAGAACUGUUUUCUCUCUUUCUAUUGACGGCUGAGUUAUAUGCUUCUAGGGUUUCCGAGAUUCUUCCCUAAUUUGAGAAUCGUUUGAAGAAUUGAGUGACGCUCAGUUGGCGUAAGCUCCGGUAUUAUUGUAGAAACAGUGAGAUUUGAGCUGGGUCAAGAGAAUGAACUAUAAGAGGGAACAUGAAGAUGAUGCUAGAGUGAACGCGGAAGGGUUUGAAUCUGACCCAAAGAGGCAAAAACGGAAUGGGCAUUCAUCUCCUUCCUCUUCACCACCUCCACCUGCCUCUGAAGGCUCCCUUCUUCCUGGUUUUAAUUACGGCGAUGAGGAUGACGAGGACAACCAGAGAAGGCCACCUGUUGAUGGCUAUAGAGGGGAUGGUGGCGAUAAUCAAAGGGAUAUAAAAAGUGGGGUUGAAGUUGAAGAAGAAGAAGAAGAUGAUGAUGAUGAUGAUCUUGAACAAGGACUUUACAGGCGGAGCCGUGAAAUUGAGGUUAGGAGGGAUUGUCCUUAUCUUGACGCUGUUAAUCGCCAGGUAUAUUACUAUUCUAAGUUGUUACAAUAUGGCAUUCCAGCUUGUCUGUAUAUUAUGCUUACAAAAGCAUCCACUGUUUUGAUACUGAUUGCUUGAUUUUGCUUUCACCAGGUUUUGGAUUUUGAUUUUGAGAAGUUUUGUUCUCUGUCUCUGUCAAAUUUGAAUGUGUAUGCAUGUUUAGUUUGUGGGAAGUAUUACCAAGGAAGAGGGAAGAAGUCCCAUGCAUAUACACAUAGCCUUGAAGCUGGACACCAUGUUUAUAUCAAUCUUCGAACGGAGAAAGUAUAUUGCCUUCCGGAUGGAUAUGAAAUCAGUGACCCGUCAUUGGAUGACAUUAGACAUGUCCUGAACCCAAGGUUUGAUUUGUAUUGUUUAUAUUUCUAGUCUUCCUUGGGUAUCCUUUUAAGGAUUUGAAUUCAUUUGGUUCUUUAUAUGCAGGUUUACUGAGGAACAAGUGGAGCAGAUUGACAAAAACAAGCAAUGGUCUAGGGCACUUGAUGGUUCUGAUUACCUUCCUGGAAUGGUACUGAUUUUUGGUCUUACUUGCAUAAGAUUCCAUAUAUGCUUCUAUUGCUGCUGUUGUCAAUUCAUAUGAGUUCGAUAUUAUGUUUCAAAUUCCUAAUUGGCUUGGUCAAUACUAUAGAUUUCCUAUUUAAGUUACUCGGGACAGAAGAAUCUUUAUUCCUUGCCAAAUAAGUAAUGAGCUAAUAUAUUAUGUGGCUGGCCAACAAUUAGACUUACGAUAGAGUUGUUUCACAGUUUUCAUAGAUUUGUGUGGGAGUAUACCAGUAAGCAUGAUUUCAGCACUUAGGUAGUAUGGUUUUUGGUUUACUGCAGUAUUCUCACGUCUUUGUAAUUCUCUAUGUUUUUUUAGAUUCUUUCUCAUCUGUAAGGUUAGACAAGCCUAUGUUGAACAACAUUUACUGUCUUUUCAUGUGUUUGAGGGAGAUAUAUUUUGUGAUUGAUCUCUCUGAUGGAUACACUUCCAUAACAACUUACGUCUUAACAAUUUCUAGCGACGUGUUAAUUUUGGGUCCUAAUUAUUGUUACCUGUGUUUUCUUAAUUUUCAAAAAACAGGUGGGGCUCAAUAACAUUAAGGAGACUGAUUUUGUCAAUGUCACAAUUCAAUCUUUAAUGAGAGUCACUCCACUAAGAAACUUCUUCCUCAUCCCUAAGAAUUAUCAACAUUGCAAGUCUCCGCUUGUUCAUCGAUUUGGGGAGCUCACGAGAAAGAUAUGGCAUGCACGGAACUUCAAAGGACAGGUUUGACCUUGUUGACUCCAUAUUUUGGUCUCUAGGUAUUGUUGUUAAGAAUAGUUCACAUGUGUCAAAUCUUUAAUGUCUACAGGUGAGCCCACAUGAGUUCCUGCAGGCAGUGAUGAAAGCCAGUAAGAAACGGUUUCGAAUAGGAGCGCAAUCUGACCCAGUUGAAUUCAUGUCAUGGCUGCUUAAUACACUGCAUGCAGAUCUUAGAACUUCGAAGAAAGAUAGCAGCAUCAUCUAUGAGUGCUUUCAGGUUUUCUUUCUUAUUCUUUAUCUACUUUGUUUGUUGUAUUGCUGUUGCUGCAACUUAACUGGCAGUAUUUUUUAGACUAAAUAUAAUGUUCUGUGCUGAUAGGGGGAACUGGAGGUUGUGAAGGAGAUUCCUAAGAAAGGUAUUGAGAAGAAAGAAAAUGGUGAUGACCAGAAUACAGAUGUUGUGACUGAAAAUAAUGGCAUUGUCAAGGAAAGGUACAAAAUGCCUUUCUUAAUGCUUGGAUUGGAUUUGCCCCCACCACCUCUUUUCAAAGAUGUUAUGGAAAAAAAUAUCAUUCCCCAGGUACAUAUGUCUAAUUAGUGAGUUGGAAGUUCAUUCUUUAAUUGCCUUUUUUUAUUGGUUUUAAUGUCUUUCUCAUAAUUUCCAUGUCUAUGUUUCUGAAUAAAAACAUGUUGGAAUUUGCUUCAAUUACAUACAUUGCCUCUAUGUUCGCAACUUGUGGACUAGGUAACUAGAUUGCUUUGGGGAGUCUAUGUAAUUAUAUAUCUUAGGUAGUGACAAAUGUGUAGACUGUUAAGAUGGAUAUGUUCCUUAUUUUUAUUAGUCUGUAUGGAGGCUAGUUGAUUUUUUAUUAUCUAAAUAUGGGGGGUUCAGUCUGUCUUUGUGCUUCUAUUCUAUAAUGUAUAUAGUUACUCAAGGUCUAGUUGCAAAUUAGAAACACAGCAACUGUUCUUUGUUCCAGGCAUUUUGGUUCUCCAUUUUUCUUGAAUAUUAAACUGAGCCCUGAAUGAUGCAAAAGCAUGCCCUUUACUUUAUGCAUGUCUCAUCAGUCUUGCAUUGUGCGUUGUUUAAAUGUUUAUAGCAUACCUAUGCUAUCACUACACCUUAUUCCAGAAAUAGUAUGUGGGGAAGAGAGAAUUGAUGAUGAGAAUUUUUUGAGUUUUAUUUUUAAAAUGUUUUUAUAUUAUUUUUUAAAGCUUGUGCGUUAUGGUUUAGGUUCCACUGUUCAAUAUUUUGAAGAAAUUUGAUGGGGAGACUGUGACUGAAGUGGUCCGACCUCGCAUAGCAAGGAUGAGGUAUCGAGUCACCCGAUUACCGCAGUAUCUUAUUCUCCACAUGCAGCGAUUUACCAAGAACAACUUCUUUGUGGAAAAGAAUCCGACUUUAGGUGUGAUUAUAUGUUUCUGGAAUUAUUUUUAUUUGAAUAAUCAUUUAACGCCUAUAGUGUGCCAUGGAUCCUUGCCUGAUCAACUGCAACCUUUUGCCAACUGAUGUAAUUCCUAUUGCAGUCAACUUUCCUGUGAAGAACCUUGAAUUGAAAGACUACAUCCCCUUGUCAACCCCCAAAGAGAAUGAGAGAUUGCGUUCAAAGUAUGAUUUGAUCGCCAACAUUGUUCAUGAUGGCAAACCUGGUGAAGGUUCAUACAGGGUAUUUGUGCAGAGAAAGUCAGAAGAAUUAUGGUGAGUCUAUUCCAUACUUAUUGGCAUAAAUGUAAACUAACAGAAAAUGGAACUGUAUGUAUGGGCUAACAUCUGUAAACGUUUUCAGGUAUGAGAUGCAGGAUCUUCAUGUUUCAGAGACACUUCCCCAGAUGGUUGCCCUUUCUGAGACUUAUAUGCAGAUAUACGAGCAGCAGCAGUAAGCUUGGGAUAGUUUCAAGUGCCAUGGUUGACGGCUUAGGUGGUUUUUAAGCCUAUUAUGGGAGUCGAGUGGUUUCAUACACGAGGAAAACAAGAGGGGAAACAUUUUGAGGUGGCAUUUGCCUGAGUUUGUGAGUUUUAUGGUUCCAUGUAUUCUGUAAGUUGUUAGUUUUGACCAAAUUUUGACAGUGAAGUAAUUGAUAUUAUAUGUUUACCCAAAGAAAAAACCAUCCGUGCUGUAGAGUAGGCAGAUGUAAAGUGCUGAAGGUAUGUAGCAAACUGUUUGAUAAUGAUCUCUGCUCUAAAUGUCCAACCUAUAAUUUUUUAGUAAAUUUAAGUUUUAGCCACAAAAAAACUUUCACUUUUGAAAAAAAAUCAAUUUUUUUUUGUUUUUUCUAAAAAAGACAAAAAAAAACCCUCAAUUGCUUUAGGAAAUGUAAAAGGUUUUUUAGGAAAUUCAAAAAUAAUAAGAGUAUUUUUGUCCAUUUUAAUUUCUUUAAAAAAUAUUUCUUCUCCUAUGACCUUUUUCAAAAUGUCCCUAAUAUUUUUUCUUUUUUUUCGUCUUUUCGGUACUAUGAUUGGGUUGAUUAUUCAUUCAUAUAGCUUUUAGGUCUGAUUGCCAUAAAAUUCAAUUGCUUUAGUCAUGUGCUGUCAGCUGACAGAUUGCUGAGGGCUGACAUUAACAUUAGAUUAUUCACUAAACAAACAUAAUUUGCAAGUGGUGUUGUCACAAAUUUAAUAAUUGCAAGACUUAUUAGGACACAUACGUUUGGUUUGAUUAGCUCCCCAGUUCACCUGGUUAAUUAAUUAAGUCAGUCCAAGUUCCAAUCAUGGGUGCCUGCCGGUGAAGGUUCCAUGUUUUCUUAGAACUUUCAGGGAGGAUAAUUUUGAACUUUGAAUUUUUCCCUAUUAGAAUAAUUAAGGCCUACUUCCAUCACAUUCAAUGAUGCAUUGUUGUCGCUAUUAGUGGCGCCACCAUGUUCUUUUCUGAUAACUUUUUUUUUUUUUUUUAUACGCCUUUCUGAGAACAGUGAAACCAACUUGCAUUGCAUCAAAAGAAGAAAAUAAUUAAAAUAAAAAGUAACGACUACUUUGAUUAACUUAACUUGAGAAUGUAGCCGAUUGAUUGAAUAGUUCUCUAUCAUGUUUUUGCAUGUUCAUUUAGAAAAGUGUUAAAGUUGUUGUAUGUAAUGUAACUGCAAAAUAAUGUCAACAGUCAGAGGUGGACUCAUUAAGGCCCAAUGAGAUGUAGCUGCACUUUUUUUCGUCGAAAAAAUUAUUGUAAGUACUUCAAAUUACCUAUUUACUCAACUGAUGUAUAUAUUAUCUUAUUUUCAUUUUCAACAUUUAAAUAAAUGUUUUUGUCCUUUUACUUUAAUUUAUUUUUGUAUUACUCAAUUUACUAAAGUUUACAAUGUAAAUAAGGAAGUAUCCUCCAUUUGAAUUCAAAUAAAAAUACUAUAAAAUCAAAUUCCCACCUAAUUAAAAUAUGAAAAAUUAAUUUUAGUGCAAAAUACAAUUUAGGCUAAAAAUAAUGGCUUAUUAAGUCAAUAUAUACUUCAUACUAAAAUCUCAUAAAAUCAAGUUUUCUUAUUUGAUGUGUAAGAAAUAAAAGCCGCCAAAAAUUAUCUUAAGAAAAUGAUUAUUCUGAAAAACAAUUUUUCAUACUUAGUCAAUUUUGCACUUCCGUUAAAAAAUUUCUGAGUCCGCCAGUGUCUACUGCUACGACUAAGUCUUCUGCUACUACCAGUUGCUUCUGCUUGUGUUCAUGGCUCUAGAUGCAAAAGCACGACCGGCAUUCUUGAAAAACGCGCCAACAGCCGCGUACUCCCCCAGAGCCCUCACGUCAGCAUUACACCGCAGCAGCGGAGGAAAGAAGAGCCAAAACACGGUUCCCGUCACGAACGCAACGGUCAAAGGCCCAGACACCAACCUCGGCACCUGAAACUUCUUCCGUUUAGCAAUCGCCUUCUUGACGGCGAUCUCAACCACCAAACACAGCCCGUGGAGGAGGAAGAACCACGAGAUCUCCCACGUGGGCGGUAGCCGCCCCAGGUAGUAGAAUAUGAGCUCGUGCAUAAUUGCCGACACUAUGAAGGUCCCCAUCACGGCAGGGAGCGGGGCCCACCUGCGCCCUACCACCCGUGUCGAAAGCGCGACGACGGGUUCGUACACGGUGGGGCGCAGGAUGCUGGUGACCAUAAUGUUCCAUCGUCUGCCCCAGAAGUCUUGGAGGGAGGAGGAGAGGUAGGGCUCGUUGAAUUGGGGCUCGAGCUCAAGUCCCAGAAGGGCUCGAGCCAGCGCGGCAGCCAUGAGGAGGAUGAUUUCUAGGGCAAAAUAUAUGUGGAAGCAAUACAUGACCCAUAUCAGGUUUGGAUGGAGGUGCUCUUUGUAGUCAUAUACCUUUAUCAACAGAGCCAAGAGCAGGCCUUUGAGUGCGUAGUUCAACGGGGAUUUCGGAGCUGGGUUUUGUUUUGUUGUUGCAUGCCCAUUUGUGUUUGAGUUGUGGCCAUUUUGAUGAUUUGAGGUUUGGAAUUGGGGUGUUUUUGGAGGUGGGUUUUGUUGGAUCUUGAUGGGUAAACAAGCGACGGCUACAAAACGGGGAAGAGAGAUUGAAGGGUCGGAGCACAGAGGGCCUUUCCCAAAGGCGAAGAGCAAGAGCUUGAAGUUGGCAAGCCAAGAAAUGAAGAAAGCAGUGGUGCCUCCGAGAUGGAUGGUGGAGAGGUGAAGAGGAAGGUCUAGGAAGAGGGCUACAACUGGAAUUAUGAGCAAGAGUCUUGGAAAACCUUUUGGUACAAACUUACCAAAUGCAUAGCAGUAGAAGAGAGAUAAGAAGACCGAGAGCCAUACCUUAAUGAAGUUUCCAAUCUCACCCUCCAUUUCCAUUUCUGCCAAAAUGAAACGAUCUCUUAAUAUUUCUCCAAAAUGCUAUUUUGGAUCUUAUUGAGGUUGGAACUUUUUUGAUUGACUUGGGUUGGGUUGUGUUGUGUUGUGUAAGAUGGCCAUGGAAUGGGUGGUGGUUGUUGCCACAUGACCAAAUAGAUAUUGUCUGGCUAUUAAUGAAGGGCCGGUGGAGUUUAUUUAGUCAGGACAUCACGUUACGGAAUGAAGAAUUUGACAUAAAAUGAAACAAAAAACAAAAAGAAAGGACCAACAAACGACAGAGCAGCAGCAGAGGCAGAAAAACGAAGGGAAAAUAAUACCAAAUUCAUCAACCAAGAUGGAAAGGAAGAAAGAAACCCAAUGCAAAGACUAGGAUUUCGGUGCAUCCAAUCCAUCAGCCAAAAACGACUACGAAUCAAUACUUUCUUUUGGCCAAUUAGCUGAAGUUCUUUGACUUGACGCAACAAUCUAUGAAUACCCAUAUGACCACUUGUCCUUUUUUAUUCUUCUUUCAGCUUAAUUAAUUAGUAAUUCAAUUGGGUGGCUAUGGUUAUGAUUUUCAUUGAUUAAACUAUUGGAAGUGGAAGGAACACAGCGAGGGACUGCGUGGCUCAAAUCGGUGUGAGAGAUACUCAUUUUUGGACGGUUCUUAAGUCUUUGGAAUUUGGUAGGUAGGAGAGGAAAGAAUUAACAGGAUCUGUGAAUAGCUAGCAAGUAGAAAUUGUUUUUGUUUGUGUACCAGAAACAUGUGAAGCACCCAGUUAUUAUAUUUCUGAAGUAAAUCUAAAUCAAGAGGUGGAAAUUUGGACCGCCUUCCAACUUUGAAUCUUUGCAUGGAAUGAAGUAGACUAGACAGUGGAAAAAAGAAAUGUAGAGCCGUUGCUGGGAUUUUAUUUUAUUUUAUUAAUCUCUUUGGCUGUAUGUGUGUGUAUAUAUAUAUAUAUAUAUAUAUGUAUGUAUGUAGGACCAUUGGGUCAGAUUUGACCUACUCCAAGAUCCCCUUUUGUUUGUGUCAACUAUGAAUGAAUGAGACCUCUAAGAACUAAUCCAAUAAUUGUUUCCUUCAAGUACUUUGGUCCUCUAUUAAUUCUUUAUCCAACCGAUUAUAUGUCUUUCUUUUUUGCGUCCAAAAUGAAUAAAACAAUUUGUCAUCCUUAACAAUGUCAAUGGGUGUUAAUAUAAUUGGUUUCUAGAAAUUAAUCUCUCUCUCUCUCUCUCUCUCUCUCUCUCUCUCUCUCUCUCUCUCAAAUAUCUCUCACCACCACAAACACAAUUAAGAAAUCAAAUUUAAGCAAGCAAAGAAAAAUGGAAGGAGAAAUACCCAAUUUCAUCAUGGUAUGGAUCUUAGCUGUGGCUUCACUGUCCUACUGUCACACCAUAGGUAAGCUCACUUCUCCUGGUUUAACCAGGCUCCUUGCCAUACUUCCAGUCAUAUCUUUCUUCUUCUUCCUUCCUCUCAAUCUCACCUCCAUUUGCCUUGGAGGCCCUUCCUCUUUCUUUCUUGCCUGGCUUGCCAACUUCAAGCUCCUACUCUUUGCCUAUGGCAAAGGCCCUCUCUCCACCACCCCACCCAUCUGCAUCUCCCAUUUCAUCCCCUUGGCUUGCCUUCCAAUCAAAUUCCGAAAAGUUGAGAACAAAAUAAAAUCAGGCCCUUCAACAUCUGCCCCAAAAGGCCAGAAAUCUCCUCUUAACUAUGCGAUCAAAGCUUUGAUCCUUGCCACAUCUCUACACGUUUUCCACAACAAACAAUAUAUCCACCCAAAAAUCAUACUCUUCCUCUACUCAAUCUACAUGUACACUGGCCUUGAACUUGUCAUGGCAUUAGUUGCGUCCUUGGCUCAAGCCUUCCUCGGUGUGGAUUUCGAGCCGCAGUUCGACGAGCCUUACCUGGCCACGUCACUCCAGGACUUCUGGGGACGAAGGUGGAACAUCAUGGUCAGUAGAAUCCUGCACCCUACCGUAUACGACCCCGUCCGGAGCAUCUCCAGACGCGUGAUCGGGAACAGAUGGGCUCCGCUGCCAGCUGUGCUCGCGUCCUUUUUCGUGUCGGCGGUGAUGCAUGAGCUGAUCUUCUAUUACAUUGGACGAACGAAGCCCACGUGGGAGCUCACGUGCUUCUUUCUACUCCACGGGGUGUGUUUGGCCGUUGAGAUUAUGCUCAAGCAGGCGUUUGCGGGUAAAUGGCGGUUGCCUGCCGCUGUGUCGGGGCCAUUAGCAAUGAUGUUUGUGGGGGUGACGGGGCUGUGGCUGUUUUUGCCGUCUCUGUUGGUGCGGUGUGAAGCGGACGUGAUGGCAUACAGAGAGUAUCUGGCUUUCACGGAGUUUAUGAAAAAUGUUAGCAACUUUGUUAAAGCCAAUUCUGUCUUAAAUCAGUAGAGUAUUGCACUUUCAUUAUUGUAGGGGAUUAAUUAGUAUAACACAGAGCAAUAAUCCCAGUAUUAUUAAAUAAAAAAAGAUCAAAAUUGCAAAUUAAACUUUACGUUAUUUGUGUUGUGUGCAUCAAUGAAAGCAUUUUCUUCCCGUGGCUACUUUUGCAUGGUCGACCACAACAUUUAAUUUGAAGCUUUAUGAAAAGGGCAAGGCGCGCGCCGCGCACCUUAUUGUUGUCCAAAUCAAAUGGUCUUUAUAAAUUGUCUCUGCUUUUGCAUUUUUGUCAUGAUCGAAUGAUGCAAGUAUUAGUAAUUCCGCUGGACUAGUAGUAACCCAUAUGCAAUUGCUUCCAACACCACGCAUGCAUAAUAAGUUAACCCAUAUGCCAUGCAACACAUAUAUAGAAACAACUUUUGCAAUUGGAUUUGGAGUAGAAGUUGCCAAAAUCAAUUUAAUUGUUUGUUUUUGUGACACCAAAGAGUCGGAAAAGGAAAAGACGCUUUAAUAAUUACCACCACAACUAGUUCGCAAAUGACCACCACUUUUGCCGGGCCAACAUGAACACUACUUCCCUUCUUUGAUUAGCAUAAAAAUAGGGUAUUUCCCAACCAAUAAUGGCAAGUAUUUCCUAACUAAUAAUGGCAAGUAUUUGUGGCAAGGGGCAGGUAUUAAUGGUCCAUGUGUUAUGAGGCCCAACGUCAAGUCAAAUGCAAUUCCUUUAAUCUUGGGUCACUGCCACAGCUAAGACCAUUCUGGUCCCACUGCUCUAAAUUAUGAGCCCACAUAUCCUGAGGGUAUGUUUGGUAGACUUCACUGGACUGGAUUAGAUAGCACUUGAAAAUCAUAUUUGGUAAGAAGGAGGACUAACUUAAAUAGGAUUGUAGAGUCCUAACAGUAAAAAAAAUGCAUCGCUCGCUCUUCCAAUUUAGUGAGGCUGAAACUCGCUUCGCAAAUUAGCAAGUUCGCAAAAUAGAACACGCUAGUCCUCCAACACCGACAACCUUCAACGCCUCUGUCUCGUUUCGUUCAACAUCGACUCCUGCUCUUCUUCCAAGUUAUACUCAGGUAAGUUUUUCUGGACUCUCCAUUUGCAUUACAAUUGAGGUAGGGCUUGCAGUUGCAGAGAGAUAUAGAAGGAGGUGAACCAAAAUAUAUUAUUGGGUUAUUGCCUUUCAACGACAACUAUAUCUUUUGGGUGGAUUCAGGCUCUGCCAUCGCCAUAGAGAUUGAAAGGAGGUUUCUUAGGUAAGUAUUUGGUUCUAGCCAUCAGCUAAAUGAAAUUUGAAUUUUGAGUCUUAGCCCCAAGAUAUUGUGGCACAUUUGUAUCUGCCAUUGCAAGGGCCUUGUCAAAAUCAGGUCUUGCGAUCCCAAGUCCAUGGAAUGCCAAAUUUUCUUCUGUUAAUUAUUGGUGUACAUUAGUUUGAUUAUGGGGUUUUCAGGUGUGGCUAGAGGAUGUGGGUGGCAACACUUGGAUGCGCUGCUUGGUUUGCUAAACUCGGUGGCAACACUUGGCUAUCAUUUUACAAAUUUCAUUUUAGAGCAGAGGUAUGGAAAAAGGCAUGAAGAUGAGCUGCCCAAGUUCUGUAAUUUUCUGCCUUUUUCUCUUUCUGGGUUGUUUGUGAUUGAAUGAUUUUUUGUCAAAUUGCAUGCAGUUCCAAUUCGUAGAAGUUCCAAAAAGAGAAAAGCUGAAAAUAAUGAAACCAGAAACAGAGAAAAGAAAAAAGAAAAAAAGAGGGAUGGUGAAGAGAGGGGAAGAAAAGAGAGAGAUGAGAGAGAAAAGAAGAAGAAAAUGCUUCACUAAUUAAAUAUUAGAAUUUAUUUGCCUCUUUCCUUGUUGUGCGUGGGUUUAAUGAAAUAAUGAAUUAACCAAAAAAAUAAAUAUUAGAAUUUUAUUUAUUUAUAGAUUAAUUUUAUUUAAUUAAAUUUAAAUAUAUUAAAUAUUUGUUUUUUAGUCCCACACAACAUCAAACAUAGGUCUUCAUUAUUUUUACAGUUCAGCUUCUUAGUCCGACGCAGCACCAAAUGUAGGUCAGUACUUAAUCCAACUUAGGCUAAUCCGAGCUAAUCCAAGACAGUCCCGGGAUUUAGUCAUAUCCAUAAUAGUCCGCCGUAUCAAACGACCCCUGAAAGGCUACAUGAUACAGCAACCCAACAGUAUAAAUAAGGAGUAAGGGUAUUUGGACACACAAGAUUGACUACAUUAGAUGACUAUUUAUGUGGCAGCAUAUGUAGUCAUGUUAUGUCAAUUAAUGAAUAUUACCAUGUAGAUUUUAUUUUUAUUUACUUUUUUUUUAAAUAAUCCUUAAAAACGACAAAAUUAUAAUUAAUUAUAAUUAACCCUAGCAUCUUUACGUUGUAGCAGGCUGCAACUUCGUUCUCUACUCAACACUCCCUUCCUCCAUCAAAUCUACCCUUACCCAGUAACACCAGCGCACUGCUAGCGCGUUUUUCAAGAAUGUCGGUCGUGCUUUUGUUUCUAGACUAGAGGUGUCAAAUGGGACGGGCCAAUCCAGCAAGGCACGAGCCCAGUCCAUCUAAAUGAGACACAGCACAACAUGAGCAUGAUUAUUAGUGGGCCGUGCUCGGCACGACACGAAAGCUUGGGCCGGCCCAAGAUAUAAAAAUGAGAUCCAAUAAACUGAGCCGACUUGUGAUCUGAGCCCGCUUCAAGCACGGCCCGAACCCGAACCCGCUUCCAAGCUCGUCCCACUUAACUUUUUUCUUAGACGCAAUGCCUUUCAGCAAUUUUAAACUGGGAAUGAGGACGAAGAGCUUGAUGAGAAGAAGAUUUACAGAACCACUUAUAUGUUUAGUGCCACAGUGUCGCCUGCUGUAGAGCGGCUUGCUAGGAAGUACUUGAGGAAUCCUGUUGUGGUCACGAUUGGCACGGCUAGAAAGACAACUAAUUUGAUCACUCAGAAUGUUAUAAGUGUGAAUAUAGGUAAACAAACUUUUCAACGGAGGGCCCAACUUAUUAUGCAAUGUGAUGUUGUUUUAGGGGCUGAGACAUCUUUGCCUACUUCUGGAACUGAAGAAGUGAGUUACUUUGAAUGGGAUUGUGCUUAUCUGUAAUUUUGAUUAUGAAUAUUUCUGCUGUACUGUAAUGGGCAAAUUGAUGUCAUGACUUUUUUCUUAUGAAACAAUGUUGUUAGUCCUGAUGACUAGUUAGAACCAGUAAAUUGUGUAUGACGAUAUCAGUUGGGAAUGUUUAUUUUUUUCCCUUCAUAAAAGUAUUGUUUCUCUUAUAAUCAAAGCAAGACAUUUCUUUGUAUAUAAAAUAAUAAGUUGUUCAAAGCUGAAAAGUUAUAAGGAGAAGCGAGUGAAAAAAAAAAAAAAAAAAAGAUCAUAGGAAAAAAAAAAAAAUUCAAGUGAAAAAAAUUCAAAUUAAAUGGGUUGGUUCUUGGGCCCAAGUACAAGCAUGGCACGACCAGUUUCAAUGUGAACUUGAGCUUUGGGCCGGACUAGGAUCAAUAGUUUUACUAAAUAGACCAACACGACACAACCUGAUAAAUUAAAUCCAACACGACACGAAUGUAUUAAAAUUAUGAAUUUACGGAUCCAGCCCGUUUGACACCACUAUUCCAUGGCCAUGAACACAAGAACGAGAAGCACCUCGUCGUAGCAGAAGACGUGUAGCUGUUAGACAUUAUUUUACAGUUACAUUACAUACAACUUUAACACUUUUUUAAAUGAACAUGCAAACAUGAGAUAGAGAACUUUUUAUUUGAAUUAUUUUCUUCUUUUGAUGCAAGUUGGUUUAAAUGUUCUCAGAAAAGCCACUAAUAGCAACAACAAUGCAUCAUUGAAUUAUACCAAGGAUUAAAGUGAUGGAAGUAGCCCUUAAUUAUUCUAAUAGGGAAAAAUUCAAAGUUCAAAAUUCUCCUCCCCGGAAGUUCUAAGGAAACGUGGUGCGUACCUUAACUGGCAGGCACCCAUGGUUGGAACUUGGACUGACUAAUUAACUAGGUCAAUUGGGAAGCUAAUCAAACGAAUUGUUUCCUUAAAGUAUUUUUUCCCUCCUUAAUUCUUUAUCCAACCGAUUAUCUGUCUUUCUUUUUUGCUUCCAAAAUGAAUAAAACAAUUUGUCAUCAUCAUUAACAAUGGGUGUUAAAAUGUAAUUGGUUUUUAGCAAUUAAUAGCACAUACCCUACAUCUUUUUCUGUUUAUGGAAUUCAACUUGUUUUCGACCACGAGUCAAGCCAGGCAGCCACCCAAUUAAAAACCAUCAAUCACCGAUACAUACAAAUCUACCAAAAUAGGCCCCCUUUUGCAAGACCCUCUCUCCCUCUCUCCCUCUCUCUCUCUCUCUCUCUAAGUACAUCCAUCUCAAACUCAAAACCUCUCACAAACGUCUCUCACCACCACAAACACAAAAAAGAAAUCAAAUUUAAGCAAGCAAAGAAAAAUGGAAGGAGAAAUACCCAACUUCAUCAUGGUAUGGAUCUUAGCUGUGGCUUCACUCUCCUACUGUCACACCAUAGGUAAGCUCACUUCUCCUGGUUUAACCAGGCUCCUUGCCAUACUUCCAGUCAUAUUUUUCUUCUUCUUCCUUCCUCUCAAUCUCACCACCAUUUUCCUUGGAGGCCCUUCCUCUUUCUUUCUUGCUUGGCUUGCCAACUUCAAGCUCCUACUCUUUGCCUAUGGCAAAGGCCCUCUCUCCACCACCUCACCCAUCUGCAUCUACCAUUUCAUCCCCUUGGCUUGCCUUCCAAUCAAAUUCCGAAAAGUUGAGAACAAAAUAAAAUCAGGGUCUUCAGCAUCUGCCCCAAAAGGCCAGAAAUCACCUUUUAACUAUGCGAUCAAAGCUCUAAUCUUUGUCACAUCUCUACACGUUUUCCACAACAAACAAUAUAUCCACCCAAAAAUCAUACUCUUCCUCUACUCAAUCUACAUGUACACUGGCCUUGAACUUGUCCUGGCAUUGGUUGCUUCCUUGGCUCAAGCCUUCCUCGGUGUCGAUUUCGAGCCGCAGUUCGACGAGCCUUAUCUGGCCACGUCACUCCAGGACUUCUGGGGACGAAGGUGGAACAUCAUGGUCAGUAGAAUCCUGCACCCUACCGUAUACGACCCCGUCCGGAGCAUCUCCAGCCGCGUGAUCGGGAACAGGUGGGCCCCGCUUCCAGCUGUGAUGGCUUCCUUUUUCGUGUCGGCAGUGAUGCAUGAGCUGAUCUUCUAUUACAUUGGACGAACGAAGCCCACGUGGGAGCUCACGUGCUUCUUUCUCCUCCACGGGGUGUGUUUGGCCGUUGAGAUUAUGCUCAAGCAGGCGUUUGACGGUAAAUGGAGGUUGCCUGCUGCCGUGUCAGGGCCGUUAGCAAUGACGUUUGUGGUGGUGACGGGGCUGUGGCUGUUUUUGCCGUCUCUGUUGGUGCGGUGUGAAGCGGACGUGAUGGCAUACAGAGAAUAUGUGGCUUUCACCGAGUUUAUUGAAAAUGUUAGCAACUUUGUUAAACCCAAUUCUCUCUUAAUUAAGCGUAGUUGGUAAAUACUAAAUGAGUAGAGUAUUGUAGGGGAUUAAUUACUGAGCAAUAAUCCCAGUCUUAUUAAAUAAAAAAAAGAUCCAAAUUGCAAAUUAAACUUUACGUUAUUUGAGUGCAUCAAUCAAAGUCAGUCUAGAUUUCUUUUGAUACCAUUUUCUUCCCGUGGCUACUUUUGCAUGGUGGACUAAAAGGCAAAAACCAAAAAGCAGAUGGAUGUCAGUCAGAGUCAGGUAUAGAAAUUAAAGUAUUAGAGCUUGACGUUGAAUUUUCAACCCAUCUGCAAUUGCUUCCUCCACACAUGCAUAAUAAGUUAACCCAUAUGCCGUGCAACACGUAUAUAUAAACAACUAUUGCAAUUGGAUUUGGAGUAGAAGUUGCCAAAAUCAAUUUAAUUGUUUGUUUUUGUGACACCAAAGAGUCGUAAAAGUAAAAGAUAGUCUAAUAACCACGCCAAAUAAGAAAACAAAACAAAAUUUAACCUUUUGCCGGGACAAACACUACUUCCCACACAACUAGUUCGCACAUGACCAUCACUUUUGCCGGGCCAACAUGGACGCUACUUCCUGCUUUUGAAAGGAAACAUUCUUACUUUCAAUAAAUUAUAGUUUAAUACGUAUGUAAAAUAAUUCAUUAAAAAUACACAUAUAUAUAUAUAUUAAACUGUAAUUAACAUAAAGGUAAGAGUUCCUACCCAGCGAAGAAGCCGAAGUAUUUCCAAACCAAUAAUGGCAAGGGGCAGGUAUUAAUGGUCGAUUUGUUAUGAUAUGAGGCCCAACGUCAAGUCGAAUGCAAUCCCAUUAAUCUUGGGUCCCGAUGCUCUAAAUUCUGAGCCCACAUACCCUGAAGGGCUACAUGAUAUUGCAACAUUUUCCAGUUUGUCAUGGUAUCAAUUUUUUGUUUAUUGUUGUUGUUUAGUAUGGGCUAGCCUCUCUGCACGCGCUUCCGCGCUUGCGAGAGGUUUUUUAAAAAAAAUAAGUAAAUUUAUUUUAGAAUUAAAAAAGAUAAUGAGUAGUUGUGUUCCAUAAAAAUAGGAUCCAUUAUUUGCCUUUUUUUUUCUUUUAAUUUUUUUAAAUAUGAAAAAGUGUGAAUUUACCAUAUUAUCCUUAUUUAAUUAAUAAUUUAAAUUCUUAAUGUUUGCAUUAACAAAGGGCAUUUUCUGGUAUUUUGAAUAUUUCACCGUUCUCUGUCUUUUGCUUUAUAUAUAAUAGAUAAAAGUUACGCUGACGCGGCAGUAGCUUAUUAGCUACUAAUAAAUCCCAAUCCGUUUCAUCCCCAUCACAGCAAAACCAGAGCUUGGAGAGAGCCUAAGGCAACGUACAGCUUUGUUUGUUUUUGGAGGACAAUCGUAUCAUUCAAGGUAAGAAGAUUCCUCCUCUUUUUUUCUCUUGCUGUGUUUUACCUUUCAUAUUUUUAUUUAGAAUAUGUUGAAGAUCCAAUUAGAGUUUGAACUCGUUGAUCCAAUUGGAUUCUGAUCUGUAAAAUUAUGGUUUUGCAGAUCAACUGAUACUGUUUGCGGAUUUAGUUGCCUAAAGAAAAGGGUUGGAAUCAAAUAAGAGCGUAAUGGGUUUUGUGGUUACAACUCUAAUCUUUGCAAUGGUGGGCGUAAUUGCUUCCCUUAUGGUCAGAAUCUGCUGCGGUAGAGGCGCUUCGGCCAAUUUGUAUGUCUUACAUGCUCUGCUACUUUUGCUUUCUCUUCCAUUUAUUCCAAAAUGCAAAACCUUAUCGUACGAAUUCAAAGCUUUUAUCUUUUUAAUUUUGUUUCCAGUUGUUAAUUCAAUAGUGGAGUGGAAGUAAGUCUGAAUGUUAAUUUGGACAUAGUUGAUGAUAGAUAUUUGGAGAUUAGGGAUGAUCAGAUCGAAACUGUUAUAGUCUAUAUGCCUUUUUGGUUAAUGGAUAAAACACAUUUGUAGUCCGUUUUAGCGUAUCGUCGAUUUUGAGUGCCUCUCUUGUUGUUGCAUCAAAACAUUAUGGGGAAAAAUCUAACACAUGGGAUUGUUGGAAAAGAAAAUAAGAAAUAUGGCCGUGUCGUGUUGAUUUAAAGUGUGAAAUAUGGUGCUAAGUCGGGUUUAUAUCGGGAGGAAGACCGUGAUCAUUGUGGUUUUCAUGUUACAUCUAAAGAUAUUAUAUCAGUGAGAGUUCUAGUUAGACACUUGAAGGGGAUCCCCUUGAAUUUAUAGAUUAAUUGGGUAUACUUGUGUGUGUAAUAUGUUCUAUUAUUAGCCUGAAUCUCUGUGGAAAAUAUAGUUUUGAUCCUAAACAUCUACAUCUACAUCAAAUGAGAAAUGGCAUUGUUGCUUCAAUGUUUACUCAACAUCCACAUCUAGUACUUACUGCUGAAAUUUUGUUUACAUAAUUGAGAUUGGAAAACUUUUGGACCUUCCAACAGUGGGGGCUUCCUUUCAAAUUCUCUGGCAGCUAAGCUAAUGUAAUGUUACUCCUGUGCAGGCUCCAUCUUACACUGGUGAUCACAGCAGUAGUGUGCUGUUGGAUGAUGUAUGUUUUCCCCUUGAUCUUUUAUUUUAGUUUUGUUGCAAACUUGCUCCCUUGGAUAUUGACUUUGCCUUGCUCUUUUCAAUACUUGUUAGGUGGGCAAUUGUAUACGUUGCACAGAUGAAACCACUCAUUGUUCCAAUCCUCAGUGAAGGAGAGUGAGUUGAAACAUUGAAGAAUCUGUUCGUGCAGAAUUGGGUCACACAUCAUUGUUUCAGACUUCCCAUUCGGGAUUUAGAUGUAUAAUUUUGGAAGAGAGUUGGUCGGAAUUUAAGAGACCUGGGAUUGGUUGUUGUAUUGCCUUCUCCCAAUAUAUUUGUUUGCUUCACCUUCAUCCUUGGAAAACAGGGUGAUAGAACAGUCUGUAUUUUUAUUUUUUGGUCGUAGAUAGACCAAUUUGCAUGUAUGUAACUCUUUUUUUUUUUUUUUUCGAUGUGAAAUAAAAAGUCGAUCUUGAGUGUCUAGCUCAUCUCUCAUUGGUUUAUAUAUGUGCAUGGAAACUAUAGAUUGUUUGAGGGCAGUGUAAGAACUGGAAGCUUCUUCUCUCGAAUGGUGGUCUGAAAAAGAAUUGGGCUAGCUACCUUCCCUCACGCCUUUCCUAUUCAGUCCGGGUGACACGUGUAUUUUACACACAUAAUUAAUGUUACAAGGAAACAAGUGUAUUUUACACACAUAAUGUUGAAAGAAGGAAUUCGGGGUGUAGGUUUUAUUAUACGUGAUUUUGAUGGUAACCUGAGGGAGCCGUUCAGAUGCGGGCGCCUGGUAUGGUCUCCAUCCUUGCGACAGGAUUAUAUGCGUUGAAGGCUGGCCUUCUUUUUGCCAUUGAUGCCUCCUUUACACCUCUGAUAGUUGAAUCCGAUUGUCUGAAUGCUGUAAACAUGAUCAAUAGUGGAGAUGUCUGGUUUGCUACAGUCUACAGAGGGGGGUCUAGUGGAGGAAAUCCGAAGGCUGCUGCACCAUAAUCCGUCGGUGACUGUUCGGCAAAUCCCUCGCCCUGCUAAUAAGGUGGCUCAUCGGAUUGCCAAGUUUAGUUUACGUGACAGAGAUCUCUCAUACUGGCUGGAGUCGGGGGCCCAUGACUCAUGUUUUGUAUCCAGGAUGAUUGUCUUUCUUUAUAAUAUUGAUUUGUCUUUGUAAUUGGUAAGCGUCGCACUAUUUUCUACCUCAAGUUCUAUUUUAUAUAGUUUUCUUCGGAAAGAUUUUAACGAGUCCAUGUUUUUAGUUGCUGAACUAUUCAGUUUCGAUUGAUUAAUGAAAUUGUCUCAUUCUCAAAAAAAUGUUACAAGGAAACAAUUGUCAAAGUCUUCUACAUUUACUCAGAAGGAGCGGUUAUGUCUUGUGUACUGGUGCAAGUAGUUAUCCUACAGCAUGGAUCUGGAAUCUAGAUCAACACACCAUAAUAAUAGCUCAUUGACCAACUCCAAAAUUACUUUGUUUGUGCUGACCUUAACUGAGCACUAGUAGCUGGUGAUGUGGUGCACUCUAGAGACCGGACAUAGAAAUACGUGCAGAUUAAAACGUUGUGCAAACCAAGACGUGGCAUUCAAUGGCACUAAUUGAGGUAGUUGUUCAAUGAGGCUGAAAGCCCUCUUCUACAUGCAUGUAAUGUAACAAACAAGAAUAUAAAUCACUUAGCAAGGCUUCUACGACUCAUUUCAGAAGCAGAUCAUGGAGAAAAGGGCUUCUACACAAGCUGCUGUGCCACUGAUGAUGCUGCUGCUGCUUUUGUGGUUGUUUGUGUUCCCAGCACUGGCUUGCCCAUCGGACGGCAGUCAGUGUAGAGACUGUGUGGCUAAUCAGAUGAAGUUUGGAUGCCCAGAAUGCACGCCGGUUCUGCGGUGUAUGGCACGAUGCUUGUGGAGGGGAAGCUCAAGGGCCAACUGUGUCAAGAGGUGUAACUGUGGUUCUGGUGGCAAACCUAAGCUCUCUGACUGCAAGAAAUGCAUGUUGCGCUGCAAGUGCAGCUGCAUGUCAUAGAUAGAUGACUUCCCAAGAAGCUGUGUGUCUCUAUGUUUCUACUUAUCGCAAAUUUUAUGUAUCUCCAGCUUAUUGAAAAAUCUCUUUAUAUGGUUUGUGAAUUAAUUUCAAUUUCAGUAUCUAUUUUGUGACAAUGAAUCACAGCUAAAAUCACAAACAUCAGAAUUUCUAUGUGACCAAGACUGAAAAUUUGAGAAUAAUUUGAGGCGUUUCAAUUUCAUGAAACUACUACAAGUAAAGGUUUUAUUCACGAUAAAUAAAUAGACGAAUAGAAAGACUAGCUAUAACAGGCUCACUGCAUAGCAAUUACAAUUUGCAGUGUGCAUAUGCAGUCUGUACAUCACAUAUUACGCAGCAGCAGUGGCCGCACGCACUAGAUCACGGCUCGCGCAGAAACCUCUGUAAGCAGCGAAAACCCAGAUACUGAGCACAAAACCUCUCCAUCUCCUCACCCCCUCUCUCCCUGCACACACCCUCCUCCAUCUCCGCAACGACGUCGUCCCAGUUCCUCACAAACCCAGCAUCUCCACAUCCCCAAAAGCCAUCAACAUCUUCUGAAACAAUCGCGUCUACGAUCUCCUGCAACCCCACGAUCCGACGGCUCACUUUUCUUCUCGCUUCUCUCACUGCGGGGUCCACCCCACGAACGGAGUCCAGCUUCAGCAGCAACCUCAUCAGCGCCUCGUUCAUCCUCAGCUUCUCGCGCUCGCUGCUCCUCACGGCGUCGACCGUUUCCUGCCGUUGAAUCAGGCGCUGGAACUCGUCGGCCUCGGAAUGCACGGCUGCGAUUGUUUUAUAGAGAGUGCGGAUGAGGUGGGCCCGGUAGGCGGAUUGAAUUUUGAUGGCUGCGGUGGAUUGGGGUACGUGAACGGUGAUGGGAAUUGGGGUAGCAGAGGACUGGAUGGGAAUUUCGGUGGCGGUGGGAGGGGCAGGUUGUUCAUUGUGGAGAGUGUAGGUGACGGUGGUGGUAGAAGAGGAGGAGGAGGAGAAGCUGAGCCUGCGACUGCGAGAGGGUUUCAUAUUCCGCUAAAAGCCUAGUCUAGUACUAGUAUUGUGCGUGUAGUGUGGAUGAUGAGUUAAAGUUUUUAGUGUGAAAAAUGAAAAUCGUCUCUGAAUUUUAAAAUAAAAAGAAAUAAUUUCGGAACUGUAGGAGGUUCUUGAAUGGUCUUGGCGCGUAACAGUGUUGCAUGGGUGGCGUGUGCACUCAGGUCAGCAACCCCGUCGGUCCUCCCGUCCGUUAAUUUACGGGACCCACGCCCACGUCCCCUUUUUGGAGGAAUGCUUCUUUUUCAUUUAUAGUGUCACACGAAAAAGAAAAAGCAGCAAAACAAAAGCCUCCUAAAAUUGCUGCGUAAACAGCAAAAUCAUUUGUGGAGAGAGAGAGAGAGAGAGAGAGAGAGAGAGAGAGAGAGAGGGCAAUGAAUUAUUCACUAAAUAGUAUGACAUUCAUUGAGCACCGAGUGAAGUCAAAAUAAGAAUUACAUAACGACAAUGGAAAAGUGAGUGGGACACACAGCUCCAACAAGAAGAAGCAAAAGUCUUCAAGGAGGUGAUGGCACAAUCUUUCCAGAGCAUCUCCCGAAGCCAAUGUUGUAACCAUUCCCCUGCAAUGGAAACAUAUUAGAUGCUACACUUGCACAUAGUAAAAAUAUCAAACACAACAAGGGAUAGACAACUAAGCACGUAAAGCUUAUCCUAUCGCUGGAUUAAACAGAAAUCGCCAACUAUGUGAAAACAUAAAUUAGCUUCAUGACAAAUGGAGCAUAUUUUACAACACAAUAUCGUCAUGAUCAAAUAUAUGGAAAGCACUAACCUUGCUAACACCAGAAAUGAUGACUUCAUCUCCAUCUUCUAGGAAUUUACGAGGAGUCCCAUUUAAGGACAGCUGCUUUUGUCCGUUCCAUGUCAACUCCAGCAAGCAUCCAUAAGAUUCUGGCUCCUAUUGUGAAACACAAGUGAUGAAUGGAGUUCACUCUAGCAAGAAAUUUCACUCAAACAAAAUGUCAUAUGAAUGUAGGAAUAUAUUAGAACAAACUGAAACCAUACAGGUCCGCUGAUGGUCCCUGUUCCAAGGAGAUCGCCCGGCCUUAAAUUGCAACCAUUGAUAGUAUGGUGUGCUAGCUGCUGAGUCAAUGUCCAAUAUCUGUAUACGAGUUGCAGAAAUUAAGAUAAUAUUAUAACAGGAUCACACCAGAACAAAUAAAAAGUAUAAAAACAUGGAUUUUCUUUCAUCGGAUUAUUUAGCAUCCUGUUAAGCAUUCAACUAAGCUACAAGGAACUUAUGAUGCCCCUUGGAAGUGCAGCACCAAAGAAAGCUUGGUAAUAAUGCAUAUAAAGCACUUUAUACCAGACUGCAAGUAAACUACUACAGAGGAGAUGUCCCAACUCUGAGUAGGCAUCAUGAUUAUGAUCACUGUUGCAUAGUUUUUGUUGAGGGAAUACGGAGAAAGCUAGGUAACUUAUUCAAUGGUUAACAGGGCAAGACGUUGUCCCAACUAAAGAUUAAAUAUGUCGAGGAAGUAAUUGGGCAGAAAUCCUUACAAAUUAUUGAAAUUACUCUUUGUGACCACAUGUGAAUCAUCUUGUCCAGCAGGUUUAAUUUGAACCUUGCAAUAAAAGGCAGUUUCAUCGUCAUCUCAAGAAUGGAAGAGCAUAUAACUAUUUACAAUCUUAACCAUUAAAAAAAAAAAAAUUCAUAAGGCCUAGAAGGAUGAUUAUUGAUUUAUCCAUCACUGGAGAUUAUAAAAGAAACAAGUUUAUAAACUGAAAGAAGCAAGUGUGCCAACGAGAUGGAAGAUACCUCCAAUGAAAUGUCAUAAUUUUUGGAGAUCUUUUCAGCCAGAUAGGGCAAUGGAUGGGGGUCCUACAAUUCGCAGCAUGUAUAACAUAAAUAAAAAUCCACGCACAAUUAGAAAGAAAAAUUGGGAAAUUAUGGUGCUACGCAAAUCUGAGUAAGCACCUGUUUGGGAGCCUCACAAGAAAAAGGUUCUAGAGCUUCUAGCGUCACUAUCCAAGGGGAUAUUGUAGUCCCUAAUAUUUACAUUUUUACACAAAAAUAAUGUCAGUCUUGCAGUCAACCGACUGAGAUAGUGCUUAAAUCCAGUACUCUAAGCUACAGAAAUGGAAUGUAAGAAUGAGGCGUCAUGGUUUUCGGUUCUUACCAAAGCUUUUCCCAAGGAAAGGGCCAAGGGGAACAUAUUCCCAUGCCUGAAUAUCUCUAGCUGUCAAAACCAACUUCUUAUCAAGUAUAACCAAAAGUUAAAUAUGAAGGAUGAGAAGAACCUAUAGAAGCAAGAAGCAAGCAUACCACUCCAGUCAUUCAUCAACACAAGUCCAAAGAUGUGAUCUGCUGCUUCAUUAACAUCCACGGGCUUUCCUAACUCAUUUCCAGGACCAACUAUAGCAGCCUACAAGCAAAAUGAGAAUCGGCAGAACAUAAUAAAUACAACGAGUUAUGGACAUAACCAAAAUUAUGAGGUUCUACAGUACUAAAGGCUAUACUAGAGCAUAGAAAGCCUAACCAUUUCGAGCUCAAAGUCUAGUUUCACUGAGGGACCGAAAGGUGGUGGAGAGUUUCCAGCAGGAGGGCCUUGACCUCUGUGAUAAAACAAAUAAAAAUUGUAUAAUAUAAGAUUCCAUUCAACCUGCGUACUCAAUGAGCCUAAAAGCAACAAUAGAUAAAUAAACUCGGACCUGGGUCGAGUAAUGUCCGUUCCAGAUAUAACAAUUGAAGAAGCUCGACCAUGAUAUGCAAUUGGAAGGUGGAACCUGGGCAUAAAGUAAUAUUCAGACUUCCUGGACUUGUAAAAACAAUAUUACAAGUGAAAAAGAACUUAUGUUCCAUGCGUUGUUCAAAAUCCACAUACCAGUUUGGUGGAAUCGGGUUCUGUGGUCCACGAAAUAUUGUUCCACAGUUCUUUGCAUGAUGCAAGGAUGAAAAGAAGUCCGUAUAGUCCCCUAUGGCAAUAGGAAGAACCAUUUCUACCUCGCUCUAAACAUCGAUCCAUAUAAAGAAAGACGAAUAAAUAAAUAAAUAUAUAGAAAAAGGGGAAAAAUCUAAGCUUAAAAUUAUCAUAUAUUCAAAACCAUAUAAUUUCUCAGAUACCAGUGGAAUAAGUGAUUUCUGCCUUAAACUUUCAUUGUCACGCAAUGAUGGCUCUGUAGCUGCACCAAUAAUUAACCAAAUGAAGCUUAGUUAUUAACUUAAUGAAGUAUAAACUAAACCUAAUUACUUGAAUAAAUAAAUAAAUAAAUAAAGACGCCUACAUGACAAUAGUUUCUGAAGCGUAGCACGCGCUUCCUUCCAAGCAGCCCGUCCCAAUGCCAAUAGCUUGUUCAAAUUAGGCUAACAACCAAAACAGAGCAAUUAAUUACUGCAUUUAUCAUCAAUUAUAGUGAAGAUGGAAUUGAUGAUCAAACGGACCUCGUGAAAGCAAUCGGAGUUAUUGAGGAUCGGACCGUUGAAGAGACCAGCUGCGGCGAUUACAGAGAGGUCCAAGACGUAGUCACCGAUUGCCACGCCCGGUCGAGCCACUGAACCUCGGUCAGGCUUGAAGGCUCCGUACGGGAGGUUCUGUAUGGGGAAGUGCGAGCUGGGGUGGACUUCGAUGAACGACUUCAGAGCCAUGCUGGAAACGGCGUCGUUGAGCUGUUGAAAAUUUCGGACAAAGAAGAUGACAGAGCGGAGCUCGCAGUGAAGAAGAUAGACUGAGGUGUUAAUGUACAUAGAAGCAAGAGCAAGUAGAGCUGGUUUUCUCUCCGUUUUUAAGGAUAAAAUAGUAAUACUUUAUUUGGGAUUAUUAAUUUGGUGUGGUAAGUUGGUUAGGGACUUGGGAUUAUCGGUCCUAAUUUUGAGUCAUGUGGGCAGCUGCCUACCAAUCUUUCAAAGCGGUGCACUUGAUCUACCCUCCUACGCAGACCUGGUAAUGGGCCUAACCCGGAUUGGCCUGGGACUGGCUUGGGAUUUAUAAGCAUAUUGGAUUUUCUUUUCAAUUUUGGCCUUUACAUUUGACUACGCUAGUGAAUUGCUAUCCGAACAUUCGUAUGUUCAAUUUAGGAUUAACCAGUAAUUUGCUCAGCAAGAUUCAAAGCUGUCGUUGGUGAGGAAGGGCGAGAUUCAUUGCAUAAUCCACUUGGGCACAAUCCACCACGGAGCAUCGAAAGUGGGCUGGGUACUUUCAGUGGAGCCCAAAUGAAUGUUGAACUCGGGCCUGGAUCUGAACCGGAACAGUUGGAGGACCCAAUGCAGUAUGAAGCACCAGCAGAGCAAGAACACAAACAUAAGGCCAACUCAAAAAAUGGUAGGGGGUCGUGGAAACGCCAAGCAAGGACAAGAAGCUUUUUAAUCCAUCCACUUGAGGGGGAUACUAGUGAAGUUAGAGGAUGGUCUGGGAAAAGGGGAGCAAGGGAGUUAACAGAGGCUGGGAGAGUUGUGACAAAGAGGCCAAAAGAGAGUGACACUAUGACUAUUUGUUCAACCAAAGUGGUGGGAUCAGCAGGACUGACCCACCACGAGCAAUGAGGAUCUUAAGUUGGAAUGUCCAAGGUCUCGGGGCUCCUCGGACAUUCGACUCUCUCAAAAAUGUGUUGCGAGAGAAAAAACCCGAUUUGGUCUUCUUAAUGGAAACCAAAAUGACGGCAAAGCAGAUGGAAAAUACACGGAUACAACUUGGAAUGGAAGGGAUAGUUACAGUGGCGAGAGUGGGCUUGGGGGGAGGUUUGGCUUUAUUUUGGCGGAGUGGAUGGGGUGUGAGGCUACUAUCUUAUUCCGUGGGUCACAUUCAUGUUUUGAUCACUGAGUCGAAUGAUUCACAGUUUUAUCUUACUGGUUUUUAUGGGCAUCCUGACACGCAACAACGAAACCAUUCUUGGGAGUUAUUACGCAGAUUGUCGUAUACAGUUCAAGGAGCCUGGGUGGUAGUCGGAGAUUUUAAUGAGAUCCUGUUCUCAAAAGACAAAAGAGGGGGACGAGAACGACCUCAAGGCCAGAUGAAUAAUUUUAAGAUGGCAUUGGAAGAUUGCCGACUUAGUUCCACUAGAUUUACUGGGUACCCGUUCACUUGGGCACGUCGUUACCCUGAUGGUAGCGUGGUGGAAGAACGUUUAGACAGAUGUGUAGCGAAUGGAGUCUUCUUCGGUCGUUACUCACAUCUGACGACCAGCCAUUUAGUGGCAGUGGGUUCCGAUCACUAUCCGAUUCUAGUGGAGGCUUGUGUUGAUGAUCCAGAAGCGGGUGCAAAACGGAGUAGACGGUUUCAUUUUGAAGAAAUGUGGACAAAGGAGCCAGAAUUCAACAAAGUGAUUGAAGAGGCUUGGAAGGUUACUGACGGAGUGGAGAGUGUAAGUAACAGCUUAUCACUGUGCGCAAAGGAACUCAAAACUUGGAACCAUAUCCAUUUUGGUAAUGUUCGCAAGCAAUUAACACAUGCUUAUAAGGAGUUAACAGCCCUUCAAGGAAGACUGACAACUGAUCAGCAUGUGUUAAAGGCCAAAGUUGAGGAAACAAUUUCAGAUCUUUUAGAAAAACAAGAAAUUAUGUGGAGACAACGAUCCAGAGUCGUGUGGCUAAAGGAGGGAGACAAAAAUACUCAUUUUUUCCAUGGAAGGGCAAGUUCUAGAUCCAAACGCAAUAGGGUAUGCGGAAUAUUUGAUGCAAACCAGGCUUGGCAGACUGAAGAGCAACGUAUAGGGGAUCUUUUCUGUGACUAUUUUAAGACCUUAUUCUCUUCCUCUGGUGGCCAGCAAAUGGAGCGGAUUCUAAACGAAGUAAGGCCGGUAAUAACAAGUGCUAUGAACGACCGGCUAUUGCAAGCUUUUACGCGGGAAGAGCUGGAGCAUACUUUAUUUCAGAUGUUCCCAACGAAAGCACCUGGGCAUGAUGGCAUGCCAGCUUUAUUUUUCCAAAAGUACUGGCAUAUAGUUGGCGAUAAGGUGGCCAAAAAGUGUUUGCAGAUUUUAAACGGGGAAGGAAGCGUUCGGGAGUUUAACCAUACCCUUAUAGCUCUCAUCCCGAAAGUCAAGAUGCCAACCACUGUUUCAGAGUUCCGACCAAUCAGCCUGUGUACAACCGUAUACAAGAUGAUAGCGAAAACAAUUGCAAAUCGAUUGAAGACUGUCCUUCCUCACGUUAUUACUGAAACUCAGAGCGCUUUUGUACCGAACCGAAUGAUUCUGGAUAAUGUGAUGGCUGCUUUCGAAAUAAUGAAUACGAUUAAGGGAGUGAAGAAGAGGCGCGAUGUCCAAAUGGCUCUCAAAUUGGACAUGGCCAAAGCAUACGACCGGGUGGAGUGGGUUUUCUUGCGUGCAAUGAUGCUUAAACUGGGUUUUUCAGCCACAUGGGUCUCCAAAGUCAUGGAUUGCAUCUCCACUACAACUUUUUCGGUGCUCUGGAAGGGUACUCCGGUUGGGCACAUUAUGCCACAGCGUGGGUUACGGCAAGGAUGUCCUUUAUCUCCAUAUCUUUUUCUUAUAUGCACUGAGGGGUUCUCGUGCCUAUUGCAUGGUGCAGAAAGGAGAGGUGAUUUGGUUGGGGUUCAAGUGGCAAGGGGGGCGCCUUCAGUAACUCAUCUAUUGUUUGCAGAUGACAGCAUUCUAUUUAUGAAGGCAACGAAUAAGGCUUGUAUGGCUUUGGAAACAUUAUUCCAAACCUAUGAAGAGGUAACAGGGCAACAAAUCAACUAUUCUAAAUCUGCGCUCUCUCUAAGUCCGAAUGCCACAAGGGCAGAUUUCGAUAUGAUUGAAGGUGGUUUAAACGUCCCUGUUGUGCGGUGCCAUGAGAAUUAUUUAGGUCUGCCAACUAUCGCUGGAAAGGGAAGGAAACAACUCUUCCAACAUUUAAAAGAUAAACUUUGGAAGCAUAUAAGUGGGUGGAAGGAAAAGCUCUUAUCUAGAGCGGGGAAAGAGAUUUUAAUCAAAGCCGUGUUACAGGCAAUCCCCACCUAUUCGAUGAGUUGUUUUCAGAUUCCAAAAGGAUUGUGCAAGGAGCUUAAUGGAAUCAUGGCUCGAUUUUGGUGGGCAAAGGCGAAAGACAAGAGGGGUAUUCAUUGGGUGAAGUGGGAGUUGUUGUGUAAGAGCAAGUUUGCAGGAGGGUUGGGGUUUCGUGAUCUUGAGGCAUUCAAUCAGGCUCUGCUUGCAAAGCAAUGUUGGCGCAUUCUCCGGACUCCAGAGUCGCUAGUAGCAAGGAUUUUUAGAGCCCGAUACCAUCCAUCAGUACCAUUCUUAGAAGCUGAAGUGGGAACCAAUCCAUCCUUCAUUUGGGGGUCUUUGCAAUGGGGGAAAGAGUUGCUCAAUAAGGGAGUGCGUUGGAGAGUUGGCAGUGGAGUGUCCAUCCAGGUUUAUACUGACAAAUGGCUUCCAGCCCCGUCUUGUUUCAAAAUUAUGUCUCCUCCCCAGUUGCCUCUGUCAACUCGGGUUUGUGAUUUAUUCACCUCUUCAGGGCAGUGGAAUGUGCCAUUACUUAAGGAUAUUUUUUGGGACCAAGAGGUGGAUGCAAUAUUGCAAAUCCCAUUGGCUUCCUUGGCAGGUCACGAUUGUUUAAUUUGGCAUUAUGAAAGAAACGGCAUGUAUUCGGUCAAAAGUGGAUAUCGGUUGGCAAGGUUGGAGAAGGAUAAAAUGAGUGGAGAGCCCUCAGCUAGAGUUGAUUUGAAUUCAAAGUUCUGGAAGAAAAUUUGGGCUCUUAAAAUCCCAAAUAAGAUUAAGUUCUUUCUAUGGAGGUGUGCCUGGGAUUUUUUGCCUUGCGGUCAGAUACUUUUCAAUCGGAAAAUAGCGCCUACACCUAUCUGCCCCAAAUGCCAUCGCAAAGCUGAAAGUGUACUACAUGCUGUAUGGUUGUGUGAGGCUGCAAAGGAGGUGUGGCGCAACUCAGCAUGGGGGAACGUCUGUGAAGUGUGGAGGGUCAAUUCUUUCAGAGAGCUAUGGCAUGCACUACAGCUAUCCUCAAGUGGGGAAGAGCAAGGGCUGUUUGCAUAUCUGUGCUGGGGACUUUGGAAUAGGAGAAACAGCUUUAUCUUUGAAGGGAAAUCAGAAACUGCAAUACAGUUGUUGUCUCGAAUGACCAAACUUGCACAAGAGUUCUCUGAUGCAAACAACAUCUUGCACACAAUCCAUGGUCGUCAGUCUAGCCCUCCAGCUCCUUUGCAAGGCUGGAGGCCUCCACCAGCAGGUAUUUACAAAAUAAAUGUCGAUGGGGCAGUCAAAUCUGGAGACUCCGUACGAGGGGUUGGGGUGGUCGUCAGAAACGCGAACGGGGAAUUCAUGGCGGCAUGUGUCAGGCGAAUUCACGCCAGUUAUGGGGCUAGGCAAACGGAGCUUAUGGCUACAAUAGAGGGCCUGCGUUUUGCUAUUGAUAUGGGCUUUACUGAUGCUAUUCUAGAAAUGGACGCCCAAGAUUGCCUUAAUAGUAUUUUCUCAACAGAGGAGUAUAAUGGAAUUGAUGGUCUUUUGCUUGAGGAGGUGAACUAUCUACUUAAUAAUUUUAGAGCAGUCGUCUGUCACUGGACUCCAAGAUGCGGUAAUAAAGUGGCACACACUUUGGCUCAGUUUGCUUUUCAUUGUAAUGAAUUUGUUACCUGGAUUGAGGAAGCACCAAGUUGGUUGCUCCCUGUGCUUGAAGCUGAUGUACUCUCUUUGGAGUGUUGAAUGAAAUUUUGUUUCUCAAAAAAAAAAAAACUUACUUAACUUUCAAUUUACUCUUAUUUUUCUUUUCUUUUUUUUUUCAAAAAAUUAAGAAUAUAAACUCUUUUUUUUUUACUAAUUUCCCUCGUACCGUCUAAAUCAUCAACAUUUCAUUCAAUUUUUUGUUAAAUCAUUACAUAUAAAUUUAUUUUUUUUAAGACAAAAUUAAACAAAAACAAAAACAAACCUAUCCCUACCCACAGACGCCCCCCAAAAAAAAUCCCCUCUCUUUUUUCCUCCCCUGACUUGACUACCCCUUUCCCACUUGCAGCUCACACCAAGACCCAUUCGCAACCCAUCCCACCUCCCCACCGUCGCUGCCUCCCCUUUCGCAACUCACCCCCAGACCCACGACCACCCAUUUACCCAUCACAACCUCCAUUCUCCCUCUCAGUAGCCCACCUUCCCACAGCCAACACCCCACAACCAUCACACACACACACUCUCUCUCUUCCCCCAAACCCCAGGUCCAUCCCCGACUCCCACAAAAUCACCCACCUCGCCACAACCCUUCUGCCCCUGGUGCGGUUUUUGAUCAAAUAGAUCUAGGAUUUUUUGUAUGUUCAAAUAUAUGGUGGUGGUUUUGGUAUUGUUGUAUGGGAUGUGUUCGAUUUUGGGGAAGAAGGGGGUUGGUCUGAGGCUUAUAGGAAGUGGGGUUGGUAAGUAGAAAUUCAGAGGCUUAAUAGGAAGUGGGGUUGGUUUGAGGAUGACAUUCUCUCUACUCUCUUUUUUUUUUUUUUAAAUUAAUAAAAACUUUAUUUGUAUCAUUAUUAUUUCAAAUUUCAAAUUAUUUUAUUUUAUUUUAACAUAGAAAUGAUCAAUUUGCCUUCAUAUUUAAAAGCAAAUUAGAUGAAAUGUUGAGGAUUUAGACGGCUGGGGAAAAAUUGGCCAAAAAAAGAAGUUCAUAUCCAUCAUUUUCUAAAAAACAAAAAUAGAGAGUAAAUCGAAAGCUAGGUUCAAAUUCAAUGGGUAAAUCACAAGUUACGCCUUUAAUUUAUUAUCUGAUUUUGUUUUUAAUUAAGGAUUUGAAUUUAUAUUUAUAGCCAAUAUCACCCCACCAUCAAAAUCGUCCAAUUUCAUCCAUAAAUCUGUUAAGUAGAGUAGAGUUACAUGGGCAUACAUUUGACUCUAUUUUAAGAAUAUUUUGGUCAUUUUCACACCAAACCUCCUUCAAUUUUCUCUUUCAUUUUUUUGGUUGAAAUGGGGGCAUUAACCUCUCUUCUCCCUCUCAGCAGCCAUAACUACCGCCUCAAAGUCUAGCACCACCAAAAUAGAAGGGCAGAAAGAGACCCAUAGUGUCAUUCCUAUUUGGGGCGUGAAUUUGGCAUGGGGCUUAUGAUGAUGAGGUAUUUAAUAGCCAUAUGAUAGUCAUUAUUCCACGGUUGCAUUGAACCUCUCAACACACCCCUUAAUAUAGCCCCUCAUUAUAGAAGGUCUAUAAAUUCGGCACUUGAGUUCAUUGGGGUCUUGGGAUUACAAGAAUUCUAUAGUGAGGGUCUUAUAAAUGGCCCUUAAGUGAGAUUCUAUCUUUUAAUUGUUGAAUCAAAUUAGUUAAUUGUUAAAUCAAAUUAGUUAACCUGAUCCAACAGUUAAGAAAUAUGACUUUACAUAAUGGCUAUAUAUAAGGCCCUCAUUAUAGAAUGACUCCUUGAGAUUAUUGGUCAUAUGUGGGCUGGGUUCGAAUGGGCUUGAGCUUAACAGGCAAAUUGGGUUUUGUUUUCAGUUUGGAUUUCGGACCAAGAAAACAAAAAGCACAGGCCAUUUACAUUUUAGGCAUUGGCGUUAGAGCGGGAUCAUAAUUAAUUUGCGGGACCACCAACACGUCUAUUGUAGCAGAUCACGACUUCUGCGGCACCUGCCAGAAAACGCAUACAUUUUUCUUCCUCGUUAGUCUUCCGUCCACCCCUAAAUCCCAUUCCACAACGAAAACAAGAAAACCUAUACGAACCAAACGAACUUUCAAAUCAAGUUCAUAAUCGAAACUCGGACAUCGUUUGUUUUCAGUCUCGUUUUGAAUUAAAAGGUAAUUGAAUUGUUAGUUUGACUAUCUAAAACCCUAGCUAGCUUUUCUGACCAUCGUAAUAUUCUCUGGUAAAUUUUGUGGUUUUGAAGGAGAGAAAUGUCGGCCGAUUUGACGCUGAGAUCGUCGUGCAGCGGAUGUGGAUCGACGUCGGAAUUAUACGGAAGCAAUUGCAAGCACAUGACUCUGUGCCUGUCCUGUGGCAAAACCAUGGCUGAGAACCGCGCCAAAUGCUUUGACUGUGGCGCCAUCGUCACUCGCUUAAUUCGAGUUCGCUCUCUCUCUAUUUGUUAUAUACAUUUAUUAUAUCUAUAUUCUGGAGAAAAAUAGAGUACUGAUUUAUGUAUUUUUCGGCUGUUCCUGAAAUAGGAGUAUAAUGUUCGUGCGAGUACUGUAAACGACAAGAACUACUUCAUUGGUAGAUUUGUGACUGGGUUGCCAAGUUUUUCGAAGAAGAAAAAUGCUGAAAAUAAGUGGUCUCUUCACAAGGAAGGACUACAAGGACGCCAACUUUCUGAUACCUUGCGGGUAAUUCAAUUCAAUUCAAUUUUUUUUCAUUCCCUUUGUAACAGAAUUUUGGUGUGUGCAUUGCACUUCAAAUACUCCAAGUUCUUGUGUUUUUUUCUUUUCUAUUAAUUAUGAAUCCGCUCGAACUUAAGACAGUUGUGAGAUGUUUGAUGAACGGACAUUGAUGCAGUUUGUAGGGUUCAGUGUAUUCUUUGUGUUUAUCACUUGUUCUUAUUACAUUAAAUUUCGUUUACGUAGGAUAAGUACAAGAACAAACCUUGGGUCUUGGAGGAUGAAACUGGCCAGUCUCAGUACCAGGGUCAUCUUGAAGGUGCACAAACUGCAACAUACUACCUACUAAUGAGGCAAGGAAAGGAGUUUUCAGCUAUUCCUGCUGGUUCUUGGUAUGCCUGCUUGGCCUUUCUGUUAGAGCUAUUUUCAGUUUGUGGUUAAUCAUUCAUCACUAUUAACCGUUAGCAUAUGCAAUAAGAUCUAAGUGCUACCCAUAGUACGUAUUACCUAAAGUUCUGAAUAAUAGUGAAGGAAGGCAAAUAAUAAAUGGGAUUGAUAGCCCUGUAUGAAUUGUCCUCCAAUUUAUAUAUAUAUAUAUAUAUAUAUAUAUCCAAAAUCAACAAAUAAUUACAGUAAGCAUAGAAUGAAAUAGGUUAGGUAAUAAAUGUUCUUAGAUCAAUAUAAGUGAAAAUUAAAAUGCGACAAGACUACAAAGAGCAAUUAGGCAAUGUCAAAUGAUCAUAAUCUAUACAAAAACUUAAUAGUGACAAUCCUGGAAAAAGGGGAACAUUUUUAGAUCAUCAUUACUGCAAAUGUAUUCAUAUUUGGGUCUGCAGGAGAGUUGUAAUUGAUUGUCGUCCAUUUGUAUAUGUUUCACAAACAGGAGUUGAAUCAAUUAUUAAACCAUCGGAGCACUUGUUUAUUAAUUAAAUUGAGUGUAGAGUUAAUCAUUAAUGAAACUAAUAGUCUUGACAUGAAUACAUAGAAGAGCUUUACAUAAUCACCAAUUAUGGUUGCAAUCGUUUUGUCCAUCUACAUAUCAAAAUAAGGUUGUUUUGAUAAUAUCUCUUAGGUUCAACUUCAACAAGGUUGCACAAUACAAGCAACUUACAUUGGAGGAAGCUGAAGAGAAGAUUAAAAAUAGGAAAAAGACCGCAGAUGGAUAUGAAAGAUGGAUGAUGAAAGCUGCAAAUAAUGGAGCUGCUGCAUUUGGUGAGGUGGAGAGGUUUGACAAGGAUAAUAGUGUGACGAGUGGGAAGGGACGGAAAAAAGCUGGUGAUGAUGAUGAUGGUGAAGGAAAUGUCUCAGAUAAAGGUGAGGAGGAUGAGGAAGAAGAGUUAGCCCGGAAAAAUAGACUGAACAAAAAAGGUGGUGAUGAUGAUGAUGAUGAUGGUGCAAGGGGAGCUGAUGCUGACUUGGACGAUGAUGAUGUCGAGAAGGGUAGGCAGUUAUUCUUUUCUCUAUUUUGCUUUAUAAACAAUAAAUCAUGAGCACAAUUUCCUUUCUUCCUUGCUAACCUCAAUAACUGAUACCCAAUACCAUUGAGGUGAUAUGAACACAGUCAUCUUGGUGAUAUGAACACAGUCAUCUUUCUUCCUUGCUAACCUCUCAAUCAUCAAUACCCAAUACAAUUAUUUAUCUCCACAAAGUUUCAGAAAAGUGAAAUUCACGAUGGUCCUACUUGCCAUGGCAAGAUGAUGCAUGUUUAGGCAUAAUGGGGGCAUCCUUUUUACAGUCUUUUUUUAUGUAUCUCGUGAAAAUUAAUGGUCAUUAGCCAUAUCUUUCGUAAAGUACUUCAUUACUUAAUAUGUUUGGCUUUACUUGUUAGUUCUAUGUUUGGUCAUCCAUUGGGGAAGCCAUAUCAAUUGGCUUCCUUUUGUUUCAUGUGAUAUGAGGUGCUUUUAUGUCUAGCACUUGCAUUUUUUUUUCUUAACAUGCAUGAGAAUAGGUUCUCAGAGGGGGGUUAUCCUGUGCUAUCUCUGUUAAAUGAAAUUUAAGUCUUGUCUUGAUGUCUUCUUUUCGUAAACAUGAAAUGGGCACUUGAUGAAGUCCAUUAUAACCAUGUCUGCAUUUAUUUAUAAUUGUCCCCCCCCCCCCUUUGUUGUAGGAGAUGAUUGGGAGCAUGAAGAAAUUUUCACUGAUGAUGAUGAAGCUGUUGGCAAUAAUCCUGAGGAAAGGGAAGAUUUGGAACUUGAGGUUCCAGCUCCUCCAGAAAUUAAGCAGGUUUGCUGCACACAUGUCCCGUAAUUGCUUUGUUUGGGGUUCUACAUUAUGUGUUAUGUUGCACUGUGCUCUUCAAGUAUAUCUUCUGCUAGAAAAUACUGAUAUUUCAAGAUAUAAUGCUUGAUGAUUUCCAUUUUCUGGUGCAACUUGUUUAUGCUGUUUUCACAAAGUAUGUCAAUUUUAUACUGGUCCAAGUUCUUUGUAAGUUGUGGCUCUUUGUCCAUUUUCUUUCACAGGAUGAUGAGGAUGAGGAUGAAGAUGACAAGGAGGGCGGACUGAGCAAAUCUGGAAAAGAGUUGAAGAAGUUACUUGGGCGAACUGGUGGGCUGGAUGAUUCAGAUGCAGAAGAUGACGACGAUGACGAUGAUGAUGUAGGUUAUUUAUUUAUUUAUCUUUGGGAUACUCAAUCUUAGUACGUUACAUGAUAACAACUCAAAGGCUAUACUGCCUGCGUCACUUAGUCAGAACUGCUUCCGUUAUAUGAUUAUAAAUUUUGUCCUGCACUGCAUGCAUUCUGAAAAGUGAUGGGGCAUUUAUGUUGAAGAUACCAAUUUGUUUUAUGCAUUGACUUAGACUUUUUGAAGAUUGGUGUUGUACUGUUAAAGUGCAUCACAGCUCUUUGUUCACUGAUCGGCAUUUCCUUUCUGCUUUUCCAGAUGGAUGAUGAUAUUGGCUUUCCUCAAGCAGCGGCACCAAAGCAAAAGGAUGCAUCCAAAGAGGAACCAUCUGACAACAGUCCCUCAAAACCAGUGCCUUCUGGGUCUGCUCGAGGAACUCCAUCUACCGCCAAGUCCGCAAAGGGAAAGAGAAAAUUAAGUGCUGAUGAUGCUAAGACAUCUAACAGUGCACCUCCCAAGAAGGUGAAAAGUGAAAAUGUAUGAUUGUUACUAACUUUGUUUUUUUAUCAGCUUCGAAACUCCCCAUGCUCACUACUGAUGAUAUUCAUGUAACCAAAAUUAGGAACAAAAAGUUUCCACCAAAGAGGAGCCUGCAUCUGCUUCUAAAAGUAGUACACCUUCAAAAGGUACUCCAUCGGUAAAAGUGGAGCCAACAUCAUCAAGUGGACCCGUCACUGAGGAAGAAAUCAGGACUGUUUUGGUGCAAAGAACACCAGUCACCACACAAGAUCUUGUUGCUAGAUUUAAGGCAAGACUCAGAUUGCAAGAGGUAUGAUCUAUCAUGUGUUUAUACUACUGUUUGACUCAUUUUCCUGGCUUUUACCUCUUCUGUAUAACCCUUGCUGAAAAUAACAUGUGUGACUGCUGCCGUAGUGUCCAUUCAAGCAGACUCUUUAUGUGAACGUUAAUUGCUUGGUUACAUUAGUGACCUUGGAUAUAGAAAGAGUUUGCAUUUGUUUGCAGUAUGAUACAAUCUUUAUAUGUUCACUCAAAACAAAGAAUGAUCGGAUGUAAGAUGGUCCUAAAGAAACACUAUGGAAGUUAUAAAAUGUUCACUCAAAACGAAGAAUGAUUGGAGGAAAGAUGGUCCUAAAGAGAUACAUUAUGGAGAGUUUUAAAUGUGUUGCUUCUUUUCGCCCAGAUACAAAUACUGAAACUGAUUGUAUUCAUGUGUUCCUCUUCUCCAUCAUGUCAAAUGCAUAUAGUUCAUAUAAUUUCUGCUCGCAUAUGUUUGAACAACAAUUGCGUUGUAAUAUGGUUUGAAUUUGAAGGAACAUAGAGACGUGAUACUUUUGGAAUAUGGUAGUUUUGUUCCUAUUUGUUCAUUCUGUGUGUGGUGCAGGACAAGACAGCUUUUGCUGCGAUCCUGAGGAAAAUUUCUAAGAUACAGAAGACCACCAACGGAUCCAGCUAUGUUGUGCUGAGAGAUAAAUGAUUGCCACUCACCCCUGCCCCCACCCCGACCCCCGAAUAUGUAAUCAGCCUUCAAACAAUACUUCUGAGGCGGCCAUGAAUUGGAUUCUGUCUUUUUUUUUUGUCUUUCCAAUUUGUUAGCAAUAUGGACAAUUGCGUGUGUAAAUAUUUCGAAACUAAUUGGCUUCAUUUUCCGAAUGCAUUGUGUGAUAGUUUAGCUGAAACAAUUUCAACUUUCAUUUUCAUACUAAAGUAGAAUUAAUACAUAGAAAAAUCCAAAUUCAUAUCAAUCCUCACCUCUUACUAAAUUAGAAUUAAUACAUAACAAAGCUGGCAAUCUUCUCUUCUUUUCAGUGGCUCAUACAAUCCAACACGCGAACAACAAAAUACCCCUCACAUAAUCUUUAAGUCUGACUACUCACUAAAUACCCAUUACAUAACAAAGCAAACCAAAUGACAACAAAAUGAAACUUGCAGCGGUGAGGCGGGUUGAGCCAGAAGGAGUUGUGGGCCCCGCAGCAGCUGCAGCCAACAGAGAGCUGUUUGGUUUUGCUAUUGCUAUUUUGGGGUUGGGCGUUUCAGGGUUUUGAUAAGAUUGAGGCAUGACUUGCACGUGCAACUUGAGCCCAUUCUUGCAGCUCUCCACGUUACUGCUGGCGAAGUAGCGGAGUCCCUCCUGGUCCAUAGAGAUGCUAUCCAAACCGUCCGUGAACAUCCUGAUUGGGUUGCCUACAUCGCAUGACUCGAAUUCCUCCUUGCUCUUCACUUCAGCUAUGUACCCAUGCGCUGCAGAGUAGGCUAACCCUGCCCAUCCAUAAAAGUCCCCACACAAACAAAAGAGUCUUGUGAGUUGUUGUGAACUUGUGAAUGAAUGAACAACUGUGUUGAAAAUGACUUUCUUCUUUCACCAAAAAAAGAAAAUGACAUUCUUUCCACUUUACUCUCUCGAUUUUCUCGGAAACCAAACAAAUGGCUUGGUUAAAAGAUGCCAACAAAACGAAAGCAAAGCAUAAAUAACAAAAUUUUAAGCUCUAGAGGGAGAGAGAGAGAGAGAGAGAGAGAGAGAAAGAGAGAAGGAAGACUCACAGAUGUUGUCUCCGACCCUGAAAGUUUUGUUGGAGGACCAAGAAGCGAGGUCGGAAGAAGGGUCCCAGCCACGGUCUCCUCCAACGACAUGGUGCAGUUGGGCUCCAACCCCACAAAUCCCUCCAAGGCUCACAGUGGCCAAAACCACAAUCGCCACCACCACCUUCAAACCAUAUUCUCCAGCCAUUAUACUCAAGUCUCUCUUUCUCUCUCUCAACCCAAAGAGGUAGCUUAGCGUUGCUUUUAUCUCUCUUUUCCUGACCAAAAAGUAAACGCUAAACAGUAGGGACUGGUACAGCAAGAGAGAGAGAGAGAGAUAAGGAGAGUGAUAAAGUGAAGGGCAAGUAAAGGCGCCUUCUUUCGGUUUUUAGCGGUAGCUAGCUAGCUCUCGUCAUCUCAUCUCACUAAAACUUGCGAAUAUUAACUUUCCACGCAACUUCCCUUCUCCCCCGUUCUUAAAAGGACACCCCCAACACACAUACAAUACAACCAAUGGACAUGGAGGACACUCAAGACUGAAGGACCGGUGGUUGGUCACAUUCGCAUCGCAUCCAUGACUGAAAGACCGUUUGUUUGUUCGCUUCUCUUCUACCCUAUAGGGCCCUCCCUCUCUACCACCGGACCACUCUUCCACUGCGAUCAUUCGCUUUUUUACCAAAAUACCCUCUUCAUUUGUUUUUGGGACUAAUGUGCACCAAGCCUUAAGUGGUCUUGUGUUCUCCAUCUCGAAGGUCAUAAAGGAAGACGAAAAUAGGGUUAUGCCGGUACGUUAGUCCCAAAACACCCUCAAAUUUACAGACAACUUAAUAAAUAAAUAAAACUAGAGAGAAUUGAUAAAACAAAGGGCACACUUUAUGCGUGACAUUAACAUGUAUAAUAUAUAUGUAUAGGAAUCCGAAUAUGAAAGACGGUUUGAAAUUUGAAGGUUUUUUUUUGGUCUGACCCAAAUUUGAAGGUUAGGUGCGUAUAUAUCCUUUCUUCUUCUCCUCUCACCCAACACCGCAUGCACCACCAACAAACCAAAGACGCUCUCCCUUUGUAUUUGGUACAACAGAACCAAAGAGAAGCUAGCCGCAUAUAUUUCUUUACUUUAACUUCUUGGGACUUUGUAAAUAUUAAUAAAAUCAAUCCCUGCUGUAAGCUUUUUCUUUUUUUCGAGGUGAAUUGAUGAUGAGAAAGAUGAAUGAAACCAUGCAUGGGAAUAACUAAAACAUGAGCAGAUGAAUGCACCUUAGACAUUUGUCAGUAGUAGAGAAACAGAGAGAUCUUUCCAUAUACAGCAAUAAUAAUAGGAUUAAGUAAUUAAAACUGAACUGCUGUGAGUGAGAUUGCAAACAUAUUAUUCACAUCAAAACCCAAAACCAAACCUGAUGAAGCAAAACUGGUGUCUUUGACUAAGAUUUGACAUCUUGGCUGGUAGAUGUGCUUAUAUCAUAGUCUUCAUCAUCACUAUCACUUGUCUGUCACUGCCAUGAUCUCCUCUGAGGCAAAGUACUUACAUGUAACGAGGAUAACAUUGUUUUGCUAUUUGCAGCCAAUAACACAAUGACAUGUGAAAAAGUUAUCCUACUUGUCAUUGUGUUAUUGGCCGGGGAUAGCAAAAAGUGAUAUCCCCAUGUAAGAGUUUC